RNAcentral lists this long non-coding RNA (77833 nucleotides) under Sorghum bicolor (sorghum). RNAcentral describes it as "long non-coding RNA (SBIC_LNC004760)". The stretch from base 3951 to 4057 matches the Rfam family "Plant small nucleolar RNA R71". Lineage: Eukaryota; Viridiplantae; Streptophyta; Magnoliopsida; Poales; Poaceae. The record is from RNAcentral.
GGUAAAAGAUAGAACAGUCUAGCCAAGUGCCAUAUCUCUUAUUCUUGAUCAGCUAUAGCUCUGGGGUUUUUGCAGAUUUUCAAAUAAAACUCAGAGAUUCCUUGUAUGAUUCUCUCAGAUCUCUCUUUUGUGGUAUUUCUGGAUCCUUACCAAGGCAGUGAUGGUAUAUGCCUUCUCUCAAGAUAUGUGGUAUUUAUGGUAUAAAGCAUAAUGACAUUGUCUUCUCUCUCACCCUACUCUAAUAAGGCUUUAAUAUCUGGAGCUCAUAGGUGGGAGUUAAAUUAUACAUACUUACAAGACAUUUAUUGCAUAGUCAAACCAUGGAUCCAAAGAAACAAAUCAAUAAGUCAAAUCAAGAUGUGCAUGUGUGGCGAAUGAAUGGUGUAUGGUGAUGAUGGUGAUAACAAUGGUGGAAACAAUGGUGGUGGAAGUCUAAUUCUACUUUGCUCUUUGAGGGGAUACAUACCUUCCUUGCUUUUGAAACAUUAUGAGGAGAAUGAGAUGCUCUUCUUUUUUUUCUUUUCUCUCAGGUGGGUAUCUUGUACCCCUAAUUUCUACUGUCGGACACUUGUCCAUGUUUACCUCUCGUCUCACUUUUUCUUUCGAGGUUCCGAGCACUUGCUCCUUUUUAUUUCCUCGUAUUAUUAUUUCUUCUUCUCUUUUUUUAGAGCACUCAUUUCUUGAGAUAAUAUAGCAAGUGGUAGUAACAAGAUAACUUGAGCAUUUAUUUCACAAGGGAAAACAGAGAUAUUUUUGGUUAUUCUCUCCCAAAUUAGGAGUAGAAUAUUUUUUGGGUGAUUCUGGAGAUGGAUGGAUAUAUGUGGAUGGUACUUCUGGAGUAGAAGUAGCAUAUAUGAGUGAACGUGCAAGUGAAAUCUUGAUUUAACCACAUGACAAGCUCCUAAGGGUCUACACAGCUUGACCACACUCAAUGCUCAUAAGUAGUAAAUAUUAAAUGUGUGGCUCAAAGUCUAGCAAGCAUGUAUAUAUAUGGCUGUGGUAGGAAUUUAAACUCUCAUCAUACAGGAACUCAUCAUGCAACAUUUUAAAGAUGUUCAAAGACAAAAUUCUCCAGAAUUCUAGCAUCUCUAGAAACAGAUAAACAGCAGCUCAACAUUCCCAUAUCGUAUCCGUUAACAACUUAGACUUCAGAUCAAGUUUUCAUCCCACAAGUUUAGGUCUAGAGCAAGCUUUAAAUUAUAACAGUUAUGUCUAAACUUGAGAGAGAACUUAAAAUGUGCAAAUUAGGCAGAGCAACUGUUCAUCAUAUCCACUUCAUUUAUUUAUUAAACGUACUAAGCAAAAGACAUAUAUAUAUAUAUAUAUGUUUGGUUUUCCAUAGUUUAUGUGUAUUUCUAUUCUAAAAUAAUAUAAGUAUAAAGAUAGAUAGAAAUACUUAUCGAGAUAAAUGGGGGUGCUCUCCCCCAAGCUGAAUUUUAACGUAAUUUCUCUUGAUGUAGCUAGCAGGUGGUAGAGGUGUAUUUGAAAGUCAGCAGCAUUCUGACAGCGAUUAGAAUGUCCUCCGUCUGCUAGUCUUCUUGAUUCUUAAAUUCUGUGGAGCUCAAAUAGACAACAAAGCUUGUGGAACUUGAUUAAGUGUUAGCAUAAAUAUCUAGCUUUUAUCAUGUUGAGACUCCUUAAUAAAUAUUACUCCCUGUUUUUAUAUUUCUAUUUUUAUUAGAGUAGAAAAAUAAUUAUUUUAUUUUUAUGCCACCACAGUGAAUGUACUUAUGGGUUUUAUGCCACUCGUAUACUCACACGGGGCUUACUGUUUUUCACACAUUUUUUUAUUUUCUUUUGAAGAUAGUAUGAACUUAAUUAACUAAGUAAACUAGUUGAAAUAAUUGAAAGGGAAAGGAUAACUACCAAGUUUACCUCUUGGCAAGACGUUCGGUGUUUUUAAGUCCUCCGAAUGGGACUCUCCAUUUUCUCAAUCGUCCUGAGAUUCGUUGGGUGGCGGAGUCGUCACUUCCGGCGGCGCCUCCUCUUCAUGUAUAGUUAUCUUCAUUUUCCACACCUGACUUGGUGCUUCCGUCUCCUCUGGAUAAUUCUGUUUAAACUCUACGUCUUCUGAUCUUACAACUUCUCCUUCAUAGUCUGCCCAUCCGUCCAUGAUGAUCUGCCUCCUCUGGUUGCGGUUGCGUCGCUUUCUUACCUGCUUAGAUUCUUCAAUGAUAUAGUUAGGGUCAGUAAAAUAACGGCGUACCUUCUGUGAGGGGAAGUGCAUAUGGACUUCUAUGGUUCCAAUAUAGAUAAUUGCUUUAACGGUGCUGAGGAACGGUCUUCCAGGGAUGAUGGGUGGAUCAUACUCAUCUUCUCCAAUGUCAAUAACUUGAAAGUCUGUGUAGACAAAGUGAUCGUCUAUUUUGACUGGGACAUCAGUUACUGUUCCUUUAACUUCUCAAAAUGUCUGAUCUGCCAUCUGGAGCUAAAUGUAUGUUGGUCUUAGGGGCAUGGUUCCGAACAAGAGCCGAUAGGUGACUGCGGCCAUUAUGUUGACGCCCGAUCCGGUAUCACAAAACGUCUUGUAGAAGUUGUAUCCAUUUAUUGAGCAAUAGAUGCUUGGCAUUCCUGGGUCGUCCUUCUUGGUCAAAAGCGGUGACUUAAGGUGGUGAUCUUGGCCUCCAUGAACUACAGUGACCAUCUUAGCUGACUCGGUCCACACUUGCUUGUUCCUGUUCCUCCUGUUGGUCCUCUUCCUUGACUCACGUCUGGAUUGAUUUGGAAUUUGUGUAGUCUUGUUCUUAAAGAAAAAUGUCUCCUUCUUCCCUUUGAUGUAGAAACUGAUCUUGGCAGCACUGGCGUAGAUGAUAGCUCCCGUGGUGUUUAAGAAUGGCCUCCCUAGGAUGAUAGGUGCCCUCUCAUCAUUUCCGGUCUCUACCACUACGAAGUUUGCUGGGGCAUAUAAGGUACCAACUCGGACACAAAGAUUCCUCAAUAUUCCUUUUGGAAAAGUUAUCGUCUGAUCUGCAAACUGCAAACACAUGGUUGUUUCUAAUAAAGGAUAUGUAAAGAAUUUUUCAUAGAGUACCCUAGGUAUAAUGUUGACACUAGAGCCAAAGUCGCAGAGUGCUUCUGGAACGUACACCAUGCCAAUGGAGAUCGGGAUGACGGGGCGUCCUGGAUCUCCUCUCUUGACCGGCAGAAGGUCAGUAGAGAAUUCAGUGACGGGGUUACUCCAAUUACCUGCAUCAAACAUGUCUACAAGAUUUGCAGAUUCUAAUCCUUCUGGUUGUGAUGGUAUACCGGGGUUAGUAGUAGGAACAGCAGCAGCUAUUUGAUUUAACUGAGAUUCAAUCAUUUUAUUAAAGCUAAUUUGAUUCUUGAUGGCAGUAGAAAAAUUAUCCAUUCUAUUAUUUAUAUUUUCUAGCAUUUUAUCAUUAGAUGCCAAUUUCUUAGAUAGGUUAUCCAUUAGCUUUCCUUGAUUAGACACUAACUCUCUCAAAGGUGGAAAAUUAUUAUUAUUGUUGUAGAAACUGUUACCUUGAUAAUUACCUGAGUAGUUAGGCCUCUGUUGAUUCCAACCUUGAUUUUGUUGAGGACGGUUGUAGUAGUUGUUGUUGUUGUUGAUGUAGUUCACAUCCUCAAGUAUCUCAGGGCAGUGGUUGCCUGAGUGUCCAGUAUCUCCACACUUCUCACAAGUCAUGUGAGAGUCGUAGAUGUGCAUAACUUCCUUCUUGUCUCCGGCUCUAUCAUCGAGCUUCUUCAUGAGCAGGUCUAGCUUUGCAGACAGCAUGUCUACCUCCUUCAGCUGAUGCAUACCUCCACCUCUCUUGCGUGUCUGGGUCCUCUCUUCAUUCCAGCUUUGGUUGGACGCCAUCUUCUCCACAAGAGCUGUGGCUUGUGGUAUAGUAAGUGAUAAGAAUGCUCCUCCAGCUGCAGCAUCCAUAGUCUCUCGGGCACUGUUGCCGAGCCCAUGAUAAAACGUCUCCAUCAAUAGCCAACUCUCCAUUCCAUGAUGGGGACAUUCUAGGAUGUAGUCUUGAAAGCGCUCCCAUGCUUCUGGAACAGAUUCAUCAUUUUGUUGCUGAAAACUUGUAAUCUUCCCACGGAGAGCAUUGGUCUUGCCUAUGGGAAAGAACUUUGCAAGGAAGUUUGUUGAGUAGAGUGCCCACGUAGUAUUCUUCUCCUUUGUAGCGUAGAACCACUGCUUCGCUCUUCCUAACAGUGAGAAUGGGAAGAGGCGAAGUAGUAUAGCAUCUUUGGAAACUCCUGAUAUGGUGAAUGUGUUGCAAAUCUCCAAGAAGUGUUGUAAAUGAGCACUAGCAUCUUCAUGUGCCUUCCCACAGAACUGGUUGGAUUGCACCAUGUUGAUAAGUCCAGGCUUGAGCUCAAAGUUGCCGUCGAUCUCUGCAGCAGGUCCAGUGCGGAUGUUGUCCGUAGUGGGAGCUAAGAACUCGCGGAUUGAUUUGUUUGCCAUGGCUUCGAACUCUGAAGACAAGUUCCGGUGAUCUUCUUGAUUGGAUGAAGCUUCUUGCUGAAGUGUUGAUGAUCUCUUCUUGAGCUUGGCUCUCGUCUUCUUGAAUAAUGCUUCGAGAUUGUCAACAAAAUUUCCUGGAAGAUGUCUUCUAUUCAUACAUUCCCCUGCAUAAGAUAAAAUAGAAAAAUAUCGGGGUAAAACUGUAUGAGAGAAUAGAUAAGCUCAAUCAUAUUAGUGAUGCGAAUGAUAACUCAAAAUCUUUUAUUCUAUUCCUGAUUGGUAAUCAACCUUCCCCGGCAACGGCGCCAAAAAUGCUUGUUGGGUAUUCUUAACAUCAUUACCAAAAGUAGACUAAGUUCUCUAAAUCUAGUAACGGUGCCAAAAAUGCCAAACCUAUCCCUCACACCACUUAAGCCAAGUUGUCAUCCCCAGCAUGAUAUGGAUCUGCAAGCGCACAGAUUAAUACCGAUGUAGCAUUUUAACCGGGAAGUAUUGCAGGUAUCGUUAUUUAUAUUUUUACCACUGGGAAGCGAUUAGCAAUCAUUACUAUUGAUUACAGAAUAGAAUAUGAGAUUGAGCAUCUAUCAUUGCAUGUAUAAUUGAGAACAUUUAUCGAACUCUUCAUACAGGGAUAAGUGUCACAUAAAAGAUAUAUGAAAUAAUGAAUAGUGACAAGGAUAACUAAUCUGAUCUAGCCACAUAAUAAAUAUGAUAAGCACCUCAAUUAGAUACUCUAGAAAGUUAUUAACAUGGUAUUAGAACGAACUACAAGAAUAUUCCCUAAGUUAUUCUUAACUAUAUAGUCUAGCAUUAUCAUAAUUAGUGCAAGCAUACUUAGCAAUCAUUGCGAGACCAGACUACGCCCAUGCAUAGUGAUAUUAGCAAGGUAAAUGAGAAACAUAGCAAUCACUCCCCUGUAAUAAUGUUGCUCUGCCAGCCCAAUACACGAGAGGGGGACUAUAUAAGAAUCAAUGAAGCUGUCACUAUCAUGAACCACCCCACGAUCUGGCAUNNNNNNNNNNNNNNNNNNNNNNNNNNNNNNNNNNNNNNNNNNNNNNNNNNNNNNNNNNNNNNNNNNNNNNNNNNNNNNNNNNNNNNNNNNNNNNNNNNNNGGUGGCUCUAAUCUUGAUCAGAGGCUUCUUCUCCCUUGAAGAACAAUGAAUUAGGGUUGAGAGGCUCUCUCCUCCAGGGGCCAGGGGGUCUGGUUUUAUAGUCCCUCCAAGUGAAUAUGGGCCAUUGGAUUGUAUGGUUUAGAUUCAUCCUUUAGGUCGGUGGAGAUCUCCCGCAAAGCAGAGUCCUGAUUGGACUCAGAGGCAGGGCGGGCGCCCUAACCAACUGGGCGGGCGCCCAGGGUCAGGCCCCGUUUCGCCUCCGCUUCGGUCUCGUGGCUUCUGGAGUCUUCUAGAUGUAAGAUAAUUGCGCGGUACGUUAAUAUCUCUAUGUAAUCCCGAUGUGUGGGCCUUUCUUCCGUAUUUCCUGAUAACCCACUACAGAAAUAGACAAACACCAAAACUCGUGAAAUUCUGUCAGAUAAAACCCUAAGUCUAGAUCUUGAUUUCAUUUGGAUCCUUUUCUUUAUUUAUUUGAUAAUUAAAUUUGAUACUUAAGGACCGUCAACACAUAGCUCCAUAGCCCAUUUUAUGAUUCUGCCAUUGGCGUCCUUAUUGCGCAAGAUGUCCCCCAAUGGAAAGCUUGUAGUUACUAUGACGCGAUGGCCGUCGAAGUAAUGCUUUAACUUCCUGGAAGUGAUUAGAAUGGCAUAGAUUAACUUUUGUAUCUGGGGGUACCUAGUCUUGGACUCGUUUAGGACUUCGCUUAUGAAGUUUGCUGGUCGCUGGACUUUGUAGGCAUGGUCCGGUUCCUCCCACUCCACUACAAGCACUGUGGAGACGACUGGGUCAGUUGCCGCAAUGUAGAGGAGUAGAUCCUCAUUAGGUUGAGGCGUAGUGAGGACACAAGGUGAAGUGAGGAAAGUCUUGAGCUGUGCAAAUGCAGCGUCGGCUUCCUCUGUCCAGGAGAAUUUUUCGGAUGCUUUUAGUACUUUGAAGAAGGGGAGCCCUUUCUCUCCCAGUCUAGAAAUGAACCGGCUAAGGGCAGCCAUGCAUCCUAUGAGUUUCUCGAUGUCUUUUACAUUUCUAGGUGGUCACAUGUCGAGCACCGCCCUGUAACACCCGGCCCAGGGCUUAAUAGGAUUAAUAGGAGACUCAUACCAACAAGUUGCAACUUCUUUUCCGGAAGCCCAUCUCCAAAGAACUCUAAAGUUAAGCGUGCUUGGCCUAGAUAAAUUUAGGGAUGGGUGACCGAUCGGGAAGUACUUCUCGGGUGCGCAUGAGUGAGGACAAAGUGUGCAGAAAAGACUAGUGUUGGUCUGUGGGGGCUGACUAUGUCCUAGAAAAGCUGCCAGAUGUAAGCGGACCCGGCCUCGUGGAGGCGGGACGUUACAGAAUGGUAUCAGAGCCGACCCCCGUGGUUUCACGGGCGCGUGUGUCGCAGUUGCGCAGGCAUGGUGUGCAUGGCUGGUGUGGACCCAGAGUGGUCACACAGCAUGGCACAUGCGCUGGCACUUGAUGCACGGACGUGGCCAAGAGGGGACGUUCCUGGCUUGGGGUGGAUCGACCAGGACGUCAAUCUCUUAAGGGGGUGAGGUUGUAACACCCGGCCCAGGGCUUAAUAGGAUUAAUAGGAGACUCAUACCAACAAGUUGCAAUUUCUUUUCCGGAAGCCCAUCUCCAAAGAACUCUAAAGUUAAGCGUGCUUGGCCUAGAGAAAUUUAGGGAUGGGUGACCGACCGGGAAGUACUUCUCGGGUGCGCAUAAGUGAGGACAAAGUGUGUAGAAAAGACUAGUGUUGGUUUGUGGGGGCUGACUAUGUCCUAGAAAAGCUGCCAGAUGUAAGCGGACCCGGCCUCGUGGAGGCGGGACGUCACACACCCUAACUUUUGUGGGGUUUGGUCGUAUGCCAUCGCGACUGACGACAUUACCGAGCAGUAUGCCAGAGGGGACCCCAAAGAUGCACUUUAUGGGGUUAAGCUUCCAUUUGUAUUUGUUUAGCGCUUUAAAGGUGCGGUCUAAGUGGUCGAUCAGAGUGCUAGCAUCUCUGGUUUUGAUGACAACGUCAUCGACAUAGGCCUCGACAAGGUCGUCAUGUAUCUCGUCGUGGAGACAUUGCUGAAUAGCGUGUUGGUAAGUGGCUCCGGCAUUUUUUAGUCCGAAGGACAUGGUUGUGUAGCAGUAUGCUCCGAAAGGAGUGAUGAAAGAAGUUUUAAUUUGAUCGUCUUCCUUUAGUGAGAUCUGGUGAUAACUAGAGUAACAAUCAAGAAAAGAGAGUAAUUCGCAUCCGACCGUUGAAUCGACGACCUCGUCUAUGCGGGGGAGACCAAAAGGAUCUUUAGGACAGUGUUUAUUGAGAUCGGUGUAAUCAACCCACAUUCUCCAUUCAUUAUUCAUUUUCCUUACAAGGACUGGAUUGGUGAGCCAAUCAGAAUGAUACACUUCUUUAAUAAACCCGGCUGCUAAAAGCCGUGUAACUUUUGUCCUAAUAGCCUCCUUUUUGUCAUGAGAGAACCGUCGUAGCUUCUGCUUGAUUGGCCUUGCGGCCUUCGAGAUUUUUAAGGAGUUCUUGAUCAGGCUUCAUGGGACACCGGGCAUGUCUCUAGGUUUCCAUGCAAAAACGCUUACAUUGUCCCUUAGAAACCUGACGAGCGCGUCUUCCUAUUUGGCGUCCAAAUUGGCUCUGAUGAGAGCCGUUUUCUCUAGAUCACCGUCGAUUAGCUAGACCUCCUUGUGUUGCCUGGACUUGACGCUCUUUCUUGGGGUCUGCUGUUUGGGUAUCUUGAGCUGGUCGGAUGAAGCUUGUGCUGCUUGGGACACGGUUUCUGCCAUCCAAAUCGAGAGGUCUAUUGCUUCGGUGAUCUUGAAGCUUUCCUCCUAGCAGGUGUAUGUUGUGUAAACUUGCCCCUGAUGGUCAAGAUGCCCUUCUCGGUUGGCAUCUUGAGGACCAAGUAUGAGUAGUGUGGAACUGCCAUAAACUUGGUGAGAGAAGGGUGGCCUAAGAUGGCAUGGUAAGUUCCGUCGAAGUUGGUGACCACAAAGUUCACAAACUCUAUGCGAAAGUGGUCUGGCGUUCUAAACUGCACGGGCAACAUUAUUUGGCCAAGAGGUAUGGAGCUUUGGCCAGGUAGAACACCCUAGAACUGGGCUUCAUAUGGUUUUAGCUGCGCCGGGGUUAGCUUGAGAGCAGGCAAGCUGUUGUGAAACAGGAUGUCGAUGGAGGUGCCGCCGUCCACGACCACGCGCUCGAAUCUGACGCUGUUGAUGCACGGGUCCAGGAUUAACGGGAAACGUCCUGGGUCUGUGAUGGCGACCCAUUUGUCUUGUCUACUGAAGGAUAUCUCCCGGUGCGACCAGGCUGGGAACUUGGGGUCGAUGAUCAAUCCGUUAGAGCUAUCCACAUUCAGGCAGGCCCUUUUGAGAAGUUUCCUUUCUCGCUUUGAUUCGAUCGAAACCUUCCCUCCAAAGAUGGAGUGGACUACGUCAGUUGGAUUGACGUAUUGAUGCCAUGGGCCCCUGUCCUGGUCAUCGUCUUCAUCCUCUUGGUUGCGCCUGUCAUGUUUCUAGGCAGUUUUGGCGACGUCGCCCUGAGUAGCCCGCUGCGUGUAGAUGCUCUUGAGGACACGACGUUCUUUCAUCGUGUGGUUAGACUUGGGAUGAAGUUUGCACGGUCCUUUCAAGGUCUUGUUGUAGUCUUCCUGAUAGUCUCGUCGUCCAUUGGAGCGCUUGACUGUAUUCACCUUGUGAUCGUUGUCGCGAGGUCGCUUUCCUCUAAAGUCAUCGCGGUUGUCGCAACACCUAUCCCACCCUUCUCGGUGGUCGCGGUUAUCACCACGCCUGUCAUAGAACUGACCAAAUUAUAAGAGUUCAAGUGUAGAAACGAUCGAUCUAGUAAUCAAGUAUCCAGACUUGAGCCCAUAUAAUCCUGGUAGUCAACCGAAGUCACGAAGGACUUCAAACCAACUUUGCAACAUACCAAGAUCAUAAUAGUUCAACACAAUACAGUGAAUGUUACAUAGUUCAUUCAUUGCCGAUGAAGCGGCACCACAUCGGAGUACUUAGUUAUUACAACACAACUUCAAAGUAGCAGAAGCAACAUACUUUUCACACACACAUUUCAUAAGUUCUUGUUACUACAAGAGUCUCAUCAUCGACCAAAAGCAUCAGGGUACGAAGUCGUUAGAGAACCGCGCCCAACAGUUUAGUCUUCAUGCCCAGCAGGAUGGAGACAGGUCUUGCAGAAGCCAUCAUAGAAGAUAUUAUCUGCAACAGGUGGGAAUAAACCCUGAGUACAGGGAUGUACUCAGCUAGACAUACCCGUCUAACCAAACAUAAAAGACACCAAGGAUCAUGCAAGGCUGAGUAUAAAGUGUAGCUGGCUUGACUCAAACAUUUGCCAAAAGCUUAGGUUGUAUAGAAAACCAUUUAUUAAAGCAUCAUAUUGCUUAUCAUUAGCCUACCACUAGAUUAGCACCUAUACUAAGCACUUCACUUGAUUAUUAGCAAACAAUAAUAACCAUAUCAAGUUUCAUCAUAUGUUCCUUCUUGCUAUCUUCAACAUCAUCAUUAAGAACAAUAGUAUUUAGUGAAUGCUGCGUUUGCUGCUACUCUGUCAAGUUCUCACUAUCCGGGAGAGACGGCGAUUCGAAUCGAUUCCUAUCCAGCUGGAGGGUUAUUCCUAGCACUCACCAAUGCAUCCCCCGUCGGAGAGCAAUCGGGUCACCUUUGGUACGACUCAGGAAUCGUGGCUCCGAUCAGCGCCGCACUCCCAGGGCUACCACUCUAUCAGGGAGGUCAGGACUUUUAACUCACCUGCCUUUGGUCUUACACCAAUGCCCCCCCACACACCGCACUUCCUUCGGUAGUGCACACUUUAUACUUGUCGGUCUUCCGGCCUGAGUCAUACUACUAGGCUUCGCGGUCGGAACUAGUUAUCCUGCCAACUAAGUGUCAGGCAUGCGUUCAACAUGACAAGAGGACAUACAACGGUCGGUCCUUAGCUUCCACAGAUGGAGUUACUACCACCUUGCAAAACUCUGCCCGCUGGCUGGGCCUCCACCUCCUGAGUGAUCUCCGGAACUUCGUUGAUCACCCUCUCGAGCUCGAACGAGGCUGCCGCUUCCGAUGCACCUAUUGCAUGUACGAUAAGUAAGGAAUGUGUGCACACUAGAUGAUGAUGAAUGCUUGGUAACAUGAUUAGAAACUUUACUGGACACUCAUUUAUGGAGUAUCUCCCAUUAAAAGCUCACGAAAGAGUACCAACUCAACUAACAAGAACACACCGGCUUAAACCAUUAAGCAGCAACAAUUAAAUACAGAGCAGCUCAAAGAACAAUUCAUAACUAAAGCUAUACAGAUCCAACAAAUAUGAAUGAGGAUAUUCUGGAAAGCUUAUGAAAUUGUUUCCAUUUCAUCAUUAGACAACACAGCAAGAUUCAUAAGUUAAAUAGGUCAACUAAACAAAGUUCCAGGUUCUGUUCCAGAAAAACAGAGAGCACCUAGUUCUGGAACUCAACUUGGAAGAGCCAUAGCUUUUAAACUACUAAACCAAAUGAUCCCAAAUUUAAACAGCAGCUAGCAUACAAAGUUUACAACAAUUUUGAUAUAGACAAGUCUUUCAGAAAACAAAGUUAUCAUUAGACAAAAUCAGAUUACUACCUUGCUGUCCAGAACAGCUAUAAAACCUUUAAUUAAUUAUUUGACGACAUAGCAAGAACAUAUUUAGUACCAACCAAGUGGCUUAUAAGCACAAGCAUAACCUAAGAUUACCAGAAAACCACAUGUUGACUACCAAACACUUAACAACAAGGCAUUUAUUAAUUUAAUUCCAUAAAAGGGCAUAAUUACAAUAUACCAGCAAGGGUGCUCAGAAAAUCUACAACAAUUACAGAAGCACAAGCAUGGCACCUGGACAUUACCAUAAAAUUUUCAGAGCAAUUGCACAUGCCAAACUUAAGAUAAUUAAUUAACAUGUAACAAGGUGCUUAUUUCAUAAAUUAAGAAACAUGGCUUAGAUAGUGUCAAACAACAGAUUUCAGAUUAUUUACAUGUUACUACUACUAUGAACAAGCUUGACACCAAAGGAGAACACCAGCAUAAGCAUAUAACAUUUAAUAUGAUUUAAACAUGAAAUUAGGCCAUAGUAUUAACAUAAAUUACAUAUCGGAGAUACAGCACCCCAAAAUACAUGAACUAUUUAUCAGAGCAUUCUAAUACUACCUAGAGCAUAGCAUAAAAAGUUCAUAGCAAUUGGAGCAGUAUAUCGAAAGAUAUGAAUUUACAUAUAAUUAAAAAGAUUAAUUCAUAACAAUUCUUUUUCACAGAAACAUGGUGCAUAUUAUAUGUUUAUUAAAAACUAGCCAUCCCAUGGAUCAUCACAAAAUUUGUUUCACAACUUUUGGAGCUCAGAAAAAAGAUAUGAUUUUUGCAAGAUUGCAAGAAAUCUAGAUUUUAAAUAAAAGAGAGGAGGGAGCCGUUGUGCCACUGACAGUGGGACCCGUGUGUCAGCGUCACCAGAAAUAGAGGACACACUCGCCGACGAAUGCUCGCCGAUGGUGAGCUUCUCCGGUGGAUCCAAGGGCAUCAGCGUGCUCCUUGAGUCAUUCCGCGUCGAUAGAGGUAGGUGGCUCUAGGGUUGGAGCGACGGAAGGAGGUCGCUGUCGGCCAUGGCGGCACGACGGAGCUACCUCGGCUUACGCCGGCCAUCUCCGACCAGUGGAGCAUCGAGGAAGGGUGGUUUAAGCAUCAGUGAGACAGCGCGGAGCUUUCUAGGUAGAAAGGCCUAACCCUAACGACUCCGGUAAGUCUGCUCACGUGCGGGGUGGUCGUCGGCGGUGAGCGCGGCGGUGCGGUGGCUGUGUUCCCGCACGACGGUCUAACUAGGGCCAGAAUGGCGUGGCACAGACCACGACUGUGACCUAGACAAGCUCUAACAUGACUCAAAGAGAAAAAAGGAGGCAGGGAUGGAGCAGCGGUGAGGUUCGACGGAAUCUGGGUCGCGACGGCCGUGAACCCGACGACGGCAAUCCUACGAAAUGCGGCUCACCUCAGGGAGAUCUCAGCCAGCCAAGAGGUGGAGAAGAUGGAGGAGCUCGAGGCAGACUCGGAGACUCUCGGAGAAGAGGUGAGACGUGAAGGCGAGGACGCGAGGAGCUCGCGAAGCUCUCGGCGGCAAUGGCAAUGGUGUUUUCGCUGUCGGAGUCGCGAGAGAUAGGGAGGUAGAUAGUGGAUGGGCGUUGGGCGAGUGCGGGGUGGCGUGGCGUCCAUGACGGCAUUGAUGACCUAACGAGUGGGGCCAACACUGGCGUACGGGCGCCAAAUGGCAGCCAGGUGCUGCGCCUGGUCAGCCACGACGGCGAGGACGACGCCUAUUCAGAGUUCGCGUUGCUGACUGACAGAGCUACUUUGGCGCUAAUUAUCUUCCAAACCGUGGCGAAUUUGGAGAUGGUGUAGUUGACAUUCUUGGAGUACUAGGUGAGUUCUACAAGUUUGUCAACUGGAGCAAAGACCAAUUCGGCUUGGAUGAGGAGAUAUGAAGCUCCUAAAAACGAACAGGCAAACUGGUGGCGCCAGGACUUAGCAAAAUUUUGCUAAGUGCCAAAACAGCCCCUAAAUCUGCCUUGAAGCACUUUUUGAGGAAGUUGUGAUCAUUUUCAUGAGAUGGCCAUGAAACAACUUUUGUUCCUUAUAAAAUUUUCUACAACGUUGCUUUAGGAUGUUUUGACAUGCAAACAUUUUAUGAACCACUUUUUAAAAGCCUAAGCAAAAGAGAUUCAUAUGGCCUAUGAGUGAAAUUAUGACUUAGAGACAUAAUUUGGGGAUGUGACCAACGUGAACAUUGUUCAAAAAGUUGUGUUAAGCAUAGGUGAACUAUUUACCAAGGCAUAGAACACAAACAAGAGCAUGGUACAAAUAAACAUAAGCAUAGGAUGCAUAAUCAAACAAGUUAAAUCAUACUUAUGCAUAAAAUGACAUGACCCAAGGUAAAUAAUGAUCAUAGUAUGCUUAUGAAGAUGAUGAUGCUCAUGUUAUGCAUGUGAAAGGAUGCAACCAUAACACUGUGGUGUUACAAUGCCGAGGGUUUCGGUUGUCGAAACGUCCAUGGCUGUCGUCCCGUCGGGGAGGCUGCUCGGUUCCUCGGACGUCCUCUCUCAUGAGCUUUUCUAUGUCGUCAGCAUCGGCAUAAUUUUUGGCCGUAGCGAGGAGUUCAGCGACCGUGGUCGGCCUCUUACGUAGUAGCUUGCAUCUCCGAGCUUCGUGAAAGCGGAGGCCUUUGAUGAAAGCCGAAAUAGCCUCGUCAUCGGAGAUCUUUGGAAUCUUGAGGCGCAUAUUCGAGAAGCGUCGGAUGUAAUCGGGGCAAGGGCUCGUUUUUUCGGUCCCUUAUACUCUCAAGAUCAUAUUUAUUUCCCGGCUGCUCGCAGAUAGUGAUGAAGUUGUCGAUGAAUGCCUACCGCAGUUCCUCCCAUGAGUCAAAUGAGUCUUCAGGCAAGCCGAGGAGCCAUUGGUGACCAGCUUGGUCGAGGACGACUGAGAAAUAAUUUGCCAUGACAUGCUCGUCCCCUAUUGCUGACUGGACCACGAUCUCGUAGACGGUGAUCCAGUUCUCGAGGUUUUCCUUACCGUCGUACUUUUUGAGCUUCUCGAGCUUGAAAUUGUGUGGCCAGACGACUUGCCGGAGAUGCGAGGAGAACUGUUUUAGACCAGGAGAGCCGUGAGCGGCAUCGUACUCGAUGCGGCACACGUUUUUGUGUGCCACUCUAUCAUUGGUGCAUGUGUUGAUGCGCUCGCAGGCGUCCUUGUUAGAGAUGUUCUGCCGAAGAUCAUGGUUUCUUCCCUGGUCUACCUCCUGGUCAUGUCUGCGUCUUUGCUCGCGGUUGCGGCUGGAGUCCCAACCACGAUCGUUACGAUGGGUUUCCUUCCUACGGUCAUCGAUGGGUGAAUGGCUGUGACAAUGCCCGCCGGGUCAUGGUGAGGCCCUGCUAUGAUGGGUCUGGUCGGAGGUGACCUCCGUGUAGGAGAUGGCUUGGACCCUUCUAAGGAGAUCUACGGUCUGUCCCAUUGCAGCAAUUAAGUGCGCCCGUAUGUUGGUCCGAACACCCUAGUAUUCUGGGUGUCUGGGAGUCGGUCGAGGUUUGCCAUGGCGACAGCCACAUUAGCGCUUGGUGUCUUGAAUACUUGCUGAUUUCCAACCAUGUCGAAGGCAUCAUCAAGGUUAUUCAGGAUCAGCUGCCGCUGCUCCUCAUCUCCUCAUCGCUGAGCACGGUCGGCGUUGCACUGCUCGUGCUGCUGCCUUUGCUUGUCAGUUUCUCUGUCGAUGACCGGUUCAUCGUUGGUGACAUUGAAAACCAAGUCUCCACGUCGAGGUGGAAAAACCGGGAGGCGGGAAAAACCCGGGGGGUAAGGCGGGAGAUCCAAGUCAUAAACUUCGUCCUCAGGGCGUAGAACCUCGGUAGGGACAGAGCAUGUACAUGAGUUUGUGCUGGUGGUGUUGUCUUCCGGCAAAGUACGGAUAGAGACCAUAUUGACGAACUGGCGAGUGUUGGCAGUCAUUAUAGACCAAUUAUAAACUACCAACUUGAUUCAAAAGGAGAAGAAGCAAUCAUAUUAUAUACACACAUGCAUUUUAUUACUAACAAGUUCCACUUGUACCAUAGUGAUUAUAUUUUUGAAAGAAUUAUAGUGCAACAAGUGAAAAUGUGCCUUACCACGAAGAAAGCGCAAAGUACCAAAACACGUAUUCAAAAAUGCGCAAACCAAGAAAAUAGAGAAAGGCCCGAACAACGCAGAACUCGGCCUGAUUGUAACCACGGCAGAGAUCUAGGACUAGAGCCAAACCGACCAUGGAAGGCGGUGGACAGGGGGACCCACUCAAUGUGCCGCCGCACCCUGGUGGGGGCGCACCCCUAGAGGCGGCAAACCGGGCCCAUCUUUCUUAGGCGGUUGCAUGCCGCGUGCAUAGGAAGGUUUCAUCUACUACCAAAUUUAGAUGCGACGAACCGUCCUAGUUCCACUAUAAAAAGAGAGGCACUCCCCCCUUUUCAACACACACAUCAUUUAGAGUCAAUUUACCUCACACCUCUCACUUAUAUCUUUUGUCUAGAUUAGUAGUAGAGCAAGGCAAGUGCUAGCAAGGAGAGCUUGUCUCCUUGGAAGAAAGGAUCUUCUUAGUAUGAAUAAUAUUCAAGCUUCUUCCAUGAGCAAGUUCUAUUCAUCUUUAUAUAAUUAUGUAUAUGAAUGUCGACGAAAGCUAGUCGGUAGUCUACCUUGGGGUAUACCCACGGUAGUAGUUUAUCGGUAGACGGUGCGCAAACUACGAACUCGAUGGUGACGCAAGACACGGACAAGCUUUUUAUCCAGGUUCGGCCGCCGAGUUGGCGUAAUACCUACGUCCUGCGUCUGGUUGUAUUGGAUUGUGUUGAGAGAUAAUCUGUCCUAGGGGGGGUCCCUUGCCCCUCCUUAUAUAGUCUGGAGGGCAGGGUUACAGAUCUAGAAACUAAUCCUAGUCGGUUACAAUUGCCAUGGAUAAUUCGAUAUCAAUUCCUAUUCUAACCGACUAGAAUCCUGCUUGAUCUCCACAUCUUGUUUCCUUGCGCAAAACUCUAAGCUGUCGAAUCAAGCCUUGAACUCGUCUCGUAAUGGGCCAAGCCUCCUGGCCCAAGUCUAGCCGUAAGGGUAUAGGGGUUUAUACCCCCACAGUUAGUCCCCGAGCACCAUGUAUUGUGAUGUAACACGCCGUCUUGAGCUUCUUCGAUCAGUGAGGCUUGACGUCUUUAGGAAAGUUGCCCGAACAGUUGCAACGGUAUUUUGACCAACUCAAAAGACAGUUGAUCAACAUUGACAUCGAAGAAGCAGGUUGUUCGAAGAAUGCAUGGUGCUCUAAAUUAAAAAAGAUUUCUUUCCUGGUGAAGUGUGCCCACUUUACUUUUUUGUAAGGUAUUAUUCUCAAAAAAGCAAGCAUAUUCACCGCAAGGUGAAGUGUGCCCACUUAGUCCCCGAGCCUGGUAGUAGAUGACGUAGGCACGUGGUGCCAGGGUUAAAAGAAAAGUCCUCAAAGAAAUUCUGUAACUGAGAUGCAUCGCCAGAUGCAUCGUACCGAUGUAGUCCCCGAGCUUGCUGUAAGGCGAAGUAUGAGCCUUGUAGCAAGGUCUAAAAAAUUGAAAGUACCAGUCCGUCUGCAGUUGAAUAGACUAAUCGACCAGUCCCCGGGUGUACAAAAGUAUGACAACCAGGCCCCAAGCACCAAGCGCACUCCUUAGAAUUCUGAGUUGCUAUAUUGGGCGACCAGUCCCCGGUCAUCGAGCGUUCAGUGGUCGCCGGAAUUUUCGAAGUUCCGGGCUGAUAGACAGGGCGACCAGUCCCCGAGCAUCAAGUGCUCGGUGGUCGGUGCAGUCCUUCACAUCCGAGUUAAUAGACUGGGCGACCAGUCCCCGAGCAUCAAGUGCUCGGUGGUCGGUGCAGUCCCCGAAUUCUCAAAUUUGUGGGCUGGUCGACCAGUCCCCGAGCGUAUAGUGCUCGGUGGUCGGUGCAGUCCCCAAGUUCUUAAAUUGGUGAGCUGGUCGACCAGUCCCCGAGCGUAUAGUGCUCGGUGGUCGGCACAGUCCCCGAGCACGGCGUAGGGACCGGUGGACAAGUCCCCGAGCGUGGUUGGGAACGUAAACGUGCUCGGUGGUCGGCACAGUCUUCGAGCACAGCAUAGAGAGUAGUCGACAAGUCUCCGAGCGUGGUUGGGAACGUAAACGUGCUCGGUGGUCGGAGCAGUCCCCGGGCACAGCGUAGGGAAUAGUCGACGAGUCCCCGAGCGUAGCUUGUCGACUGGGCCAAACCCCUAAAAAAUAAAUAUAAAGAAUAGGUAGUACAUGAUGUAUAAAUAAACUUUAGAUAAAAAUCAGUACUGAGAUAAGUUUUAGAUUUUUUGUUAUAAAAUUAGCACAAGUAGUUAAUUCAUCCUAGAGCUUGUACCAGCUCUGGUCUAGCCAACAAUCAGCAUGAGGUGCGGAACCUAGACACGCGUGGGAUUGUCAGCCUCGCCAGAGAGCUACUGCCGACCACCCGGAACGCAGAGGGCGGAUCUCGUGCACGUGUAGGGAGGAGUCGGAGACUGUACCGGCUCUGGAAAGCUCGUGUAGGAGAAAAAACUAGUGUGGCUAAACAAAAAGUUUUUUUGAAUGAUAAUAAAAAAUAUUAUGCCAAAAAUAAAUAAGAUAUUAGAAGUGUACUUAUCUUUGGAUGAAAGUCUAGUCGGUGACGACAAAAUUGUCCGGCCCUCGAGCUUUUCGACUUGUCAUGACGGUGGUCGCUGUUGUCGUAGCGUCGUUCUUCGCGGCGAUUAUUAUUGCGACUGGUGGUCAGAGCAAGUAGGCUAAACAAUUUGGUCGAUGGCCCGAGCAGGUCGGUGUUGUCGAUCUGCCUCUCUUUGUAGCAGGGAAGCGGGUGACGCGUUGUCGGCGUGGUCGGAGACGUUGCUGGAGUAGUCGGAGUCGUAGCCAGCGUGGUUGAAGCUGCCGCCGACGUCGAUGAAGAAGUGGUUGGCGCAGAUCGGAUCUACACCUCCUCCGUGGUCAUGGCGGUGAAGUUGUUGAAGCUGACGGUAAACGUGAAGUCGCCCGCCAUGUCCGCGAAGUCGGGGAUGAUGGCCAUCUUGUUCGUCGGGAGAGCUGUACGCACACCCCCUACCUGGCGCGCCACUGUCGACGAAAGCUAGUCGGCAGUCUACCUUGGGGUAUACCCACGGUAGUAGUUUAUCGGUAGACGGUGCGCAAACUACGAACUCGAUGGUGACGCAAGACACGGACAAGCUUUUUAUCCAGGUUCGGCCGCCGAGUUGGCGUAAUACCUACGUCCUGCGUCUGGUUGUAUUGGAUUGUGUUGAGAGAUAAUCUAUCCUAGGGGGGGUCCCUUGCCCCUCCUUAUAUAGUCUGGAGGGCAGGGUUACAGAUCUAUAAACUAAUCCUAGUCGGUUACAAUUGCCAUGGAUAAUUCGAUAUCAAUUCCUAUUCUAACCGACUAGAAUCCUGCUUGAUCUCCACAUCUUGUUUCCUUGCGCAAAACUCCAAGCUGUCGAAUCAAGCCUUGAACUCGUCUCGUAAUGGGCCAAGCCUCCUGGCCCAAGUCUAGCCGUAAGGGUAUAGGGGUUUAUACCCCCACAAUGAACUAGAGUAUAGUUGUGUUUUUAUCAUGUUCAUAGUAUAUGAAUGUCGAGGGUAUCAGUAAGGGGUAUCCCAACUGAUGUACAUAAUGAAAUCGCCCGUACGCAAGUCGAGGCCCCCAACUCGACGCUCUACCCAAUCACGCGUAUAAUCAUCGACGACCACAGCCUCGAAGACGGAAAGGGCGUCGAGCGAAUCGAUCAGGGCUCGAGCACCGACUACCAUCGAAUACGGAAACAGGCUCGAGCAAACCAGAAGGCGUCGAGCGCAAGGACGCCACCCGCCGCCUGACGCGCGCACGGGAAUCAGGGCAUUUAAUGCGCCUGUCCCGUUCUCACCUAACACGCCAGUCACGGGAAAUGUGAUGGGCGACAGGCACCCAUCCCAUCAUUCUUUUUGUAGCCUUCCCCACCAAAUAAUCCAGGACAUGUCAGAACGCAGGAAGCAGGGUCGGAACGUCUAAUCAAGACCCCCUCGAGACACCCAAGGUCAACACUCUGGAUAGCAAGGCGCUACACGACGUCUGACCCUCGACCAGACAUGUUUCCUUCCUGGGGAAGGGUGGGACGUCGAAUGACACCACUGCAACCACUCCGACGUAUCAGCCGUCGUGAAGUACAGGCGUGCAGCAGAUAAGCCAGUCCAAGACGGCACGCAGAGCAGGAUACAGGGGCACGCGUAAUCAUCAUCAGGCUACCAAGACGGGACGGCUCGAGACCACGCCGAUACGGAGGCCUCGAGUAGGUCAGCACGCCAUACCUCUAUCGACCCCUACUCUGAUGCCUAUACUUGUACCCUGGGCUCCUCCUUGGAACUAUAAAAGGGGAGACCCGGGAAGAGAUACAUAAGACAAGACAUCACGCAAUACACCACAAGACAACUCACAAGCCAUACGUAGUAGAGCUUCCAUACAUCAUCUCAUUCCAUACCACGCUUGUAUUCACCCCUGUACAAGCACUUAGGUGCAAGAUAAUACAAACUCUCCCUCCCCCGCUGGACGUAGGGCCUUCUCUUGCCCGAACCAGGAUAAAUCUUUGUGUCUUUUUGCUCCACCAUGUGGAAAAGGGAGCACGCAUACAAAUUCACUCCUUGAUGUGACCCCCCGUGGGGAAAACACCGACAGUUGGCGCGCCAGGUAGGGGUCCUGCGUGUUUUUUCACCGAUUUCCCAUUCUUUUCUAGAUGGCCACCCUUUCUUCACCGAUUCCACGCUCCACGGUGAUUUGGUUCGGGCGUCUCGAGUUCAUGUCUACUAGCUCCGGCUACGACAUGAUCUUGCUCUCAGUCAAAGGACCGGGAGGAGCCCGCGUUGCGCCAGCACGGACGGGGCCCCGAGACGCCUCGCCAUCACGCUUCCCCGCCCAAGAAGAGGCGUGGACAGCACCAUCGUCGCCUUUCUGCCUCGUCACGACCGACGGUUCGUGCCAGGCAGGAAGUGCCACAGGAGCCGACGACACCGUGCGCAGAAGCCGUGAGCACGACGACUUGGCACCGCGAGGAUCACAUGACAACGGGAGGCGACACGCCCCACGCGCUCUCCCCCACCGCUAGGUUACUGCCACACGGGUUGUUCGCCCCAAGAAGAGCAUUGCCGUUCGGCUUGGACAAUGCCGCGGCGUCGCUCGCCAGGACAAUAUGUCCAAACGCCCAGACAUACGUGGAAAGACCAAUGGUCCUCCCGCGCACCCCUAGAGCACAGCGACCGACGUCUGGGUUGCCGGAUUUCUCCCAGGUGCGAGGCCUCCGCCGCCUGGGCCCCGGGCGAUACACGAUUACCUCCCUCAGACAGCGACUACUGGAGGAAGGACGCGGAUGCUUCUACGCCACCGAACCGGACUCCGGCUCGGAAUCCGACAGCCACGACCCUACUAGGGAGUGCUUCCAUAUCGACGGAGUGGUGGAAACCACCGACGAGACACAAGACGCGGUUGCAGGCGGGCGAGCCCCUGCAGCAAGAGAAGACCCCAGGACACCUAGGAAUGAUGGUCAGGUCGACCCCCCUCCACAAGAUGACAGAGCCACGCAAAUUGCGCAUCUACGAGAGCUCAAGGCAAAGCUUGACGAGGAUCGCGAGUGCCUUGUCCUGCUUGAGCAAAUACUCGAGCAGGACCUGCCUACCCACCCGGCGGAAGUGUCCGCAGCGAGCUCGAGAAGUCCAUAGGCAGAUCGUCGGAGACGAAGAGCCUGAGCAACCCGUCAGCCACUUCCCUCGAGCAGGCCAGAACAUCGUGGCGGCAACAAUGUUGCUACGAAACAUGCCAGAGCCGUUGAACUCCCAAGCACGGCGCAUCCGAGACGAGGUGCAGACUCUGCUCCAGGUGGCAGCAGUUCAGCAGGCCGAAAGCUCGGCUUCUCGACGUCGAGAAGCAGCCACUGAGAAGUGCGACGAGCUAGCCCAAAACGAAAAGGAGGUGUCGGCCCAUCAGCAGCCACCCCCUCGAGGGAAAAAUACCACGCUCGUCCUCCCCAUCGACAACCAACGUCGACACGACGCGCGACGCGACAUCGACGAAAAUCGACACCGUCGGUAUGGGGACGCAGAGGAGCGCGGUUACAGCGCCCAUCGCGGCGGGAGAUACGACAACGAUGAGGACCGGAUGGCCCCAGAGCCACCGGGCCCAUGGGUGUUCAUCAGGGCAAUCCGCAGCACGCCGCUGCCCAGACCGUUUCGACCCCCGACCAGCAUUGCCAAGUAUAACGGUGAGACCAAGCCAGAGCUGUGGCUGGCAGAUUUCAGGCUGGCCUGUCAGUUAGGAGGCGCUCGAGGGGACGAUCGAGCCAUCAUCAGACAGCUGCCGCUCUUCCUCUCCGACACCGCUCGCAGGUGGCUCGAGGAGCUUGUAGCCGAUCAGAUCCACGACUGGGUCGAUUUGGUUAAAGUAUUUGAGGGUAACUUCAAAGAGACCUACAUAUGGCCUGAAAAUUCGUGGGAUCUCAGCAAGUGCAAGCAGAAGUCAGGAGAAACUCUUCGAGAGUACGCUCGACGCUUCUCGAAGCAACGCACCGAGCUGCCGCACAUCCCUGACCACAACGUCAUCCUGGCCUUUGUCUCUUGUACCACCAGUCGAGACUUGGUGUGGGAAUUAGGUCGGAAUCAUCCUCAGACUGUCGACGAGUUGAUGGACGUAGUGGCAAACUACGCUGCUGGGGAAGAAGCGGUGGGCGCCUUCUUCAGCUGUGAAGGAAGGAAAGGCAAGCCGCCCGCUGACGAGGACGAGGGCCACAGUCGAGGGCCCAACAAGAACAAGAAGAAGAAGAAAACACGCCCGUUCCAGCAGGAAGACCUCGAUGACGAUCUCGUUGCCGCCAUGGAACGCAAAAGGCCUCGAGGCCCGCCGGAGGCAGGCAUCUUCGACAAGAUGCUGAAGGAGCCAUGCCCUUACCACAAGGGGGGGGGCAAACCACAAGCUCGAGGACUGUCGUAUGCUGAAAAAGCAUUUCAACGGUCUGGGGUUCAAGAAGGACGCGCGCGAUGACCCAAAGAAAGAGAAAGGCGGCGACAAGGAGGACAACAAAGAUGACGACGGUUUCCCCGCCGUCCACAACUGCUACAUGAUCUAUGGCGGGCCCUCGACGCAGUUGACCGCAAGGCAGCGCAAGAGGGAAUGUCGUGAGGUCUUCGCGGCAAGAAUGGCGGUGCCCCAGUACCUCAGUUGGUCGAGCACCCCCAUCACCUUCGAUCGAGAGGACCAGCCCGACAAGGUAGUUGCCCCUGGUGUCUACCCGCUCGUCGUCGACCCCAUCAUCAUCAACACCUGGCUCUCAAAGGUGCUGAUGGACGGCGGCAGCAGCCUCAACAUCAUCUACCUCGAGACUCUCGACCUCCUCAGCAUCAACAGGGCGCAGCUCCAGCCAAGCGCCGGUGGAUUCCAUGGCGUCGUACCAGGGAAGAAGGCGUUGCCGGUGGGUCGAAUCGACCUGUCGGUCUGCUUUGGCACAGCGGCCAACUUCAGAAUGGAGACCCCCACCUUUGAGGUGGUGGGGUUCUGAGGCACGUACCACGCUUCAUCGGACGCUCGGGCUACGCCAAAUUCAUGGCUAUCCCCAACUAUACCUACUUGAAGCUGAAGAUGCCCGGUCCCAAGGGUGUCAUCACCGUCAGCUCCUCCUUCGAGCACGCGUACGAGUGCGACGUCGAAUGCGUCGAGUAUGGGGAGGCUGUCGAGAGUUCCACCGAGCUCGUCUCGAAGCUCGAGGCCCUGGCUGCUGAAGCUCCAGAGCCCAAGCGCCACGCGGGUAGCUUCGAGCCGGCGGAAGGAACCAAGAAGAUCCCGCUCGAUCCCAACAACUCCGACGGCAACGUGCUGAAAAUCAGCGCCGACCUCGAUCCCAAAUAGGAAGUCAUGCUCAUCGACUUUCUCCGUGCGGACGCCGACAUGUUUGCAUGGAGUCCCUCGGACAUGCCAGGCAUACCGAGGGAAGUCGCCGAGCACUCCUUGGAGAUUCGAGCCGGUUCCAAGCCAGUGAAGCAGCGGUUGCGCCGCUUCGACGAAGAGAAGCGCAAGAUCAUUGGCGAGGAAAUCCACAAGCUUUUGACGGCCGGAUUCAUCAAGGAGGUUCACCAUCCCGACUGGUUAGCAAAUCCUAUACUAGUUAAGAAAAAGAAUGGGAAAAUGAGGAUGUGUGUCGAUUAUACAAGUUUAAAUAAAGCAUGUCCGAAAGUUCCUUUUCCAUUACCACGUAUCGAUCAAAUCGUUGAUUCAACUGCGGGAUGUGAAACCCUUUCUUUUCUUGAUGCAUAUUCUGGAUACCAUCAAAUAAAAAUGAAAGAGUCCGACCAGCUCGCGACAUCUCUCAUCACACCUUUUGGGAUGUAUUGCUAUGUAACUAUGUCGUUCGGGCUUCAAAAUGCGGGAGCAACAUAUCAGCGCUGCAUGCUCCACGUGUUUGGCAAGCACAUAGGGUCGACGGUCGAGGCCUAUGUCGACGACAUCGUCGUCAAAUCAAAGCGGCGGGGGGAACCUGAUCUAGGACCUCGAGAUUGCUUUCAGCUGCUUACGCACCAACCAGAUCAAGCUCAACCCCGUGAAGUGCGUUUUCGGUGUGCCUCGAGGCAUGCUCCUGGGUUACAUUGUUUCCUAGCACGGCAUUGAGGCCAACCCCAAGAAAGUCUCAACCAUCACAAGAAUGGGGCCAAUCCAGGGCAUGCAGAGAGUCACGGGGUGCUUAGCGGCGCUGAGUCAUUUUAUCUCGAGGUUGGGAGAAAAAGCGUUGCCACUGUAUCAACUUCUGAAGAAAGUCGAGUGUUUCUCUUGGACUCCAGAAGCCGAAGAAGCCCUCGACAACUUGAAGAAAACGCUGACCUCUGUGCCAGUGCUAGUCCCGCCUCAACCCGCAGAACCUCUGCUUCUAUACGUCGCAUCGACGACCUAGGUCGUCAGUGCAGCAGUAGUGGUCGAGAGGCAGGAGGAGGGGCAUGCGCUGCCAAUCCAGAGGUCGGUCUAUUUCGUCAGCGAAGUACUCUCAGAGACCAAGGCGCGUUACCCACAAAUCCAGAAGCUAAUCUACUCCGUAAUCCUCGCCCGAUGCAAGCUGCAGCACUACUUCCUCGGCCACCCUAUCACGGUGGUCUCGUCUUUCCCCUUGGGUGAGAUCAUUCAAAGCUGGGAGGCCACGGGAAGAAUCGCCAAGUGGUCGGUCCAGCUCAUGAGCGAGACCCUCACCUAUGCGCCCCCAAAAGCUAUCAAGUCACAAGCCCUGGUGGAUUUCGUCGCAGAGUGGACGGACUCCCAACUCCCCCCGGCUCAGGUCCAGGCGCAGCUAUGGACGAUGUAUUUCGACGGGUCUCUCAUGAAAACAGGAGCUGGGGCGGGCCUGCUAGUCAUCUCGCCUCUGGGCAUUCAUAUGAGGUACGUCAUCAGGAUACAUUUCACCGCGUCCAACAAUGUUGCAGAGUACGAGGCCCUUGUCAACGGUCUGAAGAUCGCCAUCGAGCUUGGAGUUCAACGCCUCGACGUUCGAGGCGACUCCCAGCUCGUCAUCGACCAAGUGAUGAAGGCCUCUAACUGCCACGACCCGAAAAUGGAGGCAUACUGCAAGGAGGUCCGUCGACUCAAGGACAAGUUCCACGACCUUGAACUCGUCCACGUCGCCCGACGCUACAACGAGGCGGCCGACGAACUCGCCAAGAUCGCGUCGACUCGAGGCACGGUGCCACCUGACGCGUUCUCGAGAGAUCUUCACGAGCCAUCCGUCGACUUAGGCUCGGGGGCUGGUAUCGAAGCCGCUCCUGCCCAGCAGACCAACACUAUCGAAGUGCUACUAAUGGUAGCCGAGGUAAUGGAGGUGGAACAGCGGCCCAGUCGACCAUUUGAUUGGCGCACGCCGUUCCUCGACUGCCUAAUACGCUGCGAUCUACCAGAAGGUCGCUCCGAGGCCCGCCGAAUCGCUCGAUGGGCCAAGUCAUAUGUAAUCUAUGGCGAGGACAAUGAGCUAUAUCGACGAAGCCCGACGGGGGUCUUGCAGCGUUGCAUCACCAUAGAAGAAGGCCGAAAACUCCUCGAGGAUCUACACUCGGGGGCUUGUGGCCAUCAUGCUGCUCCACGAACCCUCGUAGGGAACGCCUUCCGAGAAGGCUUCUACUGGCCAACGGCCAUAGCAGACGCCAUCGAGCUCGUGCGCUCGUGCCACGGAUACCAGUUCUACGCCAAGCAGACACAUCUGCCCGCUCACGCUCUCCAGAUGAUCCCCAUCACGUGGCCAUUUGCGGUGUGGGGCCUCGACAUAGUGGGACCUCUAUAGAAGGCCAAAGGGGGAUACACCCACUUGCUGGUGGCCAUCGACAAAUUCUCCAAAUGGAUCGAGGCUCGACCCAUCACCAACAUCCGCUCCGAGUAGGCCGUCCUUUUCUUCACCGACAUCAUCCACCGGUUUGGGAUCCCCAAUGUCAUCAUCACCGACAACGGCACUCAAUUCACCGGCAGAAAGUUCUUGGACUUCUGCGAUCGGCAUCACAUCUGUGUGAACUGGUCUACAGUAGCUCACCCUCGAACCAACGGCCAGGUCGAGCGUGCCAACGGCAUGAUUUUACAGGGGCUCAAACCAAGGAUCUACAACCGCUUGAAGAAAUUCGGCAAGAAGUGGGUCGAGGAGCUUUCUUCAGUCCUAUGGAGCUUAAGAACGACGCCGAGCAGGGCCACAAAAUACCCCAUUCUUCAUGGUAUAUGGCUCUGAGGCCGUGCUCCCAACGGACCUCGAGUAUGGAUCCCCUCGACUCAAAGCAUACAACGAGCAGUCAAAUAAAGAGACUCAAGAGAACGCGGUCGACCAGCUCGAGGAAGCUCGAGACAUGGCCCUCCUCAGCUCCGCCAGAUACCAGCAGAAGCUUCGACGCUACCACGACAAGCACGUGCACAGAAGGGACUUGAAUGUGGGCGAUCUCGUCCUACGGCGGCGGCAAAGCAACCAAGGACGCCACAAGUUGACUCCACCCUAGGAGGGCCCAUACGUGGUAGCCAAAGUCCUGAAGCCAGGGACAUACAAGCUCGCGGACGAAAAAGGGGCAAUCUUCACCAACGCAUGGAACAUCGAACAGCUACAUCGAUUCUACCCCUAGAAUUUUAGAGCUUUAUGAUUCCAUGUACAUUCUGUACCAAGUCCUUGUGAAUGAGUACAUGAAUGAAUGAGAUCUUUCCCUCGAGUAAUUUAUUUUUUCACAACAUUUGAAGGGAGUACCAACUAUGACCCAUCAUAGUCGGUACCCCCUCGGGGGCUAGCAGGGGGAUGCCCCCCAGUGUCGAAAAAACCAACUAUUCCUUUCGUUCCUAUCUGUAGACUUCAUACGGUCGAGUAGUAGAGGAGGGGCCGAGAGACAACGAGCCCCUUAGGGGCCGAGAGACAACGAGCCUGAGAACUCCUACGCCCUCGGGCUACGGAAACUCUACUCGCUUCCUCACCCUUACGGCCAUCGAGGUCGCCUUAAACGAAAGACCAAGCGAGGAAUACAAACAUAGGAACAAAGGGAGAAGAGCCUCGAGUAGAAGCAUAGAUAAACAUUCACAGAAAUCUUACAACCACUUAAAAACAUUGUAUUACUUACAGACAAAUUAACAGAGUACUAUACAAGGGGCUCAGACACCCAGAAUAGGCUCGCAGGCCUCAAUCCGCGUCUCGACCCUCACCAUCCUCGCCCGUGCCUGAGCUAGUCUCAGGAGGAAGUACUUCCGGCUCAAACAGCUUGGCCAACCUUUCCCCAGGAACCUCUGCGUCGUCGAUCAAGGCAUGGAGCCUCUCUUCGUUCUCCGCAUCAGUCUUGGAGAUGUCGGUGACGAAGCCGUGGGAUACCACCUCCAUGUCGUAAGAGAAGCCCGAGCAGACUACCGCCAUCGCCCGCUUCACUCUGACGUGAAGAGUGUCCCGCACCCGGUCCCUCAGCGUAGCUCCAAGGUAGCAUAGCUGGUCGACGAGUGCGUCGCCUCGAGCCUCCUCCCUCGACUCGUCAAUAGGCUCGAGCUCCCAAGAGGCCGAGAGGUCGCUUAUCGCGGUUCGUAGUCGACCAUUCAAGGCGACCUCCCCCUCGAGCUGAGUCUUGACGAAACGGGCCGUGACUUGGGCGGCCAGCAGCUCAUCUUUGAGCCCUACAAAGACCAACACGAGGAAAUUAGCUAACGCCCAACACACCUCGAAAAGAAAAGUCGAUAGUAGAAAACAUACCACGGAUGCUCUCCUCCAGAGCCGUGUACUCGCCAACCAAGUUGGUGUUAGCCCUCUCGACCUCCCUGUUGGAGCACGCCAGCUCGGUGUUGGCGACACGCAGAUCCUCGAUCGGCUUGCCGGCUUGCGUGAUGGCCCCAUCUUUUUCCAGAAGCGCUCUCUUCAGACGAUCAAUGUCGUUAGAAAGGCUGCGGGAUCGAGCCUGCUCCUCCUCGAGAUCUUCGAGGGCCCUCUUCUUGGGCUCCUCUGCGGCGCUCCUGGCGAUCUUGUCGUUCACGCACUCCACCUUCAUCCUUUGAAAGGUUUCUCGGGUGGAGGCGAGUUCGGUCUAGAGGAGGCCCUUCUCCUUAUCUAGGUCAGCAGUCGCGCUCUUGUAGGUUAGGGCCUCGUCCCGAGCCUUGGACGUAGCUUCCUCGACCGUCAUAGCCUGCUCCCUCAGCAGCUUCACCUCUUCCACCGCCUUCCUUGAGACCUCUCGAGCCUCGACCAGAGCAGCCUCCCUCUCCUUCUCCUCCUCAAGUGCCAAGAGCUCCUUGUAGGCCUUGAGGAGCUUCUCCUGCGACUCCAGGAGUUGAUCCUUGAGGAGGGGGAGCUGCUCCCAGCCGCCUCUCGUGGCGUGGAUGAAGCUCGACUUGAUGCGGGAGGUCUCUUUCAGGUCCUGCGAGCCGGUGGUCGAGCAGUUAGAACACGAAACCAAAUGUUCUAUAAAGAUUGAGGACUGAAAAGUACUUACAAAGUAGGCCGGUCUGAGCCCGUUGUUAACAACGUCCGACAGGAGCUCCACUGUGUGCUUCAUCCAAAGGUGGAGCUUCUCGACGUGCUCCCACUUCUCGGCUUCCUUCCGAUCAUCUAGAAAAAUGUUGGGCUCAGACGGAUCGGUGGAAGCCCGGAUGUGGAUCCGAUCAGGGCACCAAUUCUCCACCUCCUGGUCGGCCCGCGCCUUGACACCGCAGAUGAGCUCCUCGACGGUCUCGAGCGACCCCCCGUGGCGCAGGAACAAGUCGACGAGGGAGGGGAACAACCCGUCGUCAUCCACCGUCUUCCAGGUGCCGGUUUCACUGCCUCCGCCACCGCCCGAUGUCCCAGCCUCGUCCUCCUCGGCGGGAAUACAGUCCUCCCACGACUGACGCUCCUGGAGGAAUCCCGGGGCGAUCCCGUCCAUGCCGUAGAUCAUCCUCCUGAUCUCGGACUCAGGGUCGACGGGGUGCGCAUCAUGCAGGCGAGCGCCACCACGCCGUCUGUGGCAGAACCUCCUAAGUGUUUGGGCCCACCGACACCUGCCAUUGUCCUAAGGACCUCUGACGGUGAUGCCGGGAGUCCUCCCACUUUAGAAGUCCGAUGAGCAUUGCUGGGCGCUCAUACCACUGCUACCUGUGGCGUAACAAGCUGGCUCGUCCUGACCACUGGUAAUGGUCAAACAACGAGAACUGUUUCUUCUCGCCCUUACAGGAUAGCAAGUGGCCACUUUAACACCAGGAUCAUUCGUUGCGAAGAUAAAGCAGUAACUCAACGACACACGACCAAAAUAGUAUUUCAGAGUGAAACAGCGGAAGUAUUACAUAACUUAAUUUAUAAAAGAAGUUCUUCCAAAAAGUAGAGUGUUAUUACAAGCCUGGUCCAGCGGAGCAACUGAAACUUUAGUACAGACAGAACAAAUUUACAGACCCUGCCCAUGGGUCACGCUCACUCUUCUUCGUCGUCAACCUCAACGACGGUCACACAACAGGGUCCGAAACAAGUCGGCUCCUGAGCUUCACCUGCAACAGGGGUAUUGAAACCCUGAGUACGGGAGUACUCAACAAGACUUAUCCGACGGGAAAAGAGGAGAAUUUAGGGAUGCAGGCUUAAGGUAGACAAGGGGUGGCUGAGCAAGGAGCCAAAGUGUUUUGCGGAAAAGCUUACUAGUAGUGCAUCCUUAUUUUCAAGUUUUACCCUGAAUUCCUCCCUCGCAGGGGCAGAAGAAUUCGAGGAUAGUCUAACUAGUUGUUCCCCACAGACGAAUCCGUGAGUUCUUAGUCCUAGCAUUAAGUAUUAUUUAUCGAUGGCCAUAGCUUCAUGUCGCUAUGAGUCCGGAAAUUGGGAUCCGAACCUCAUGAGACAUUUUCCCCUUUCUCAUUUUAUCACUUAGUUGCAUAUUUAACUACGAUGAGGGUCGAAGGAAUUGAGUCUCCCAAUCGGGGAGCAACGACGAUUCGAAUCGCUUAGCAAUCCAGCUGGAGUUCCUAACCACCCGACAUAUGUAGAACCAAAUCUUGCAUAUGUCAACCCAAAUCAAGCUCUCCCCAAAUCUGACCAGGUUCGCGGCACCCGAGAGCACAGUACUCCACCAUCCUACAGCCGAUCUAGAUGUUUUCCGGUCAUCUCAGAUCCGUAAGGUGGGUACACACUACUCUCGCCAUCUUUCCACUCCCAGUGCGCGAGUAGCUGUUCGCGUCGAGGGAUCACAAGACUGGGCUUACCGUAGGCAAGUGGCUAGUACUAUAAAUUCUCAACCCAGCAGGCCAUCAACGGACCGGUCCUUAACCGACACAGUUGGAGACACUACUUUAAGACUCCAUUCUUAAAGCAAGUCCACCGACCGGUCUCAAGUUGAAACAUCAUUGACCAUAAGUGUAUUCCACAACAACCCUUCAAACUUUCUUGUUUGAAAACCUAUCUAGUAGCAGGGCUAAGCAUCGCUACGCAGUUUUAAAAUAAAACAGGUGUCAAGGACAGGAUACAGAUAUCAAGGUAGUAAAUGCAGCAAGUAGGUUAACCCAAUUCUCAUCUACCUAAUGCAGCAUUUUCAAUUCAUAGUGAUAAAAGAUUUAAAGCAUCCAAGGAGGGGUUAAUGCAUCCGGGGCUUGCCUUGGUUGCAGGGCAGAGAGGGACCCUCGGAGACUUCCCAAGUCUCGGAUCCGACUUCCUCGAACGGAGCACCGACCUCAGGGUUCGGUUCAACGGGCGCUCCUUCGGUCACGGACACUAUACGCAAAAUGAUGAAUGCUUAUGAUAUGCGUAUGGCAAUUAUGCAAGAUGGACCGAAUUAAGUACAAUUUGCCUUUUUAAUGUAUUACAGAAUUGUCAUUAAAUAAAGUUGUUUAAUAACUUAAUAUUUUUACCCAAGAGGUUUCAUCUGUAAACUAAGACUUUACUUAAUUCAUAAUUAUCUUACAUUAAGUAAUUAUUAAACCUAUUUACCUUAAUUAAUUCUUAAUUAAUUACUAAUGACAGUAAUUAAGCAUUAAGGCUAAAUAAUAAUUAAAUGCCAAAGGUCAUUAGGGUUAAUGACCUCAGGUCAUCACACAAUCCCAAAAUCACUCAACUCUAAUUAUGAGGAUUUAGUUAAUCACUAUUUACUUAUUUUGGAAUGAUUAAUUAAAUACUAAAUAAGGGUUUAUUAACAUUUUAACCAAACCUUAUCCAAAUGCCACCAAAUUUUGUGUGGAGCCAGGGAAUAAUAUUCAGAGGCUCCCCACAAUUUUUGGUGAUUUUUGGACACACUGAUAAAUUACUAAAAUUCAUACAAGUUUUAUUUGCUAAUUAAAAGGGCAAAUUUUUACAGACAUGUAAACUACCAGAAAACAGAACUUAAUAUUUUUCUUGGGUUCUACUCACUUCAGAGAGCUUACACAAAAAUUUCCACAAUUUUUGGAUUAGCACACGAAUUAUUACACAAAAUCAAACAUAACUCAAAAACUGCACAAAAAGAAAAAGAAAAACAGUACUGUGCAGCGAGUGGCCGGGAAAUCGGCCUGCAGGCCGGCCCAUGUGCGCUCGGCCCACAACCGCGCUGCGCGCGCUGCCCCUCUCUCUCUGAGCGGUCACUGACGAGCGGGUCCCGCUCGUCAGGCCCUCUCUCUCUGCGGGACGCUGACGGGGCGACCCCACCCGUCAGCUGCGUCCUCCCCGCGCACGGCGGUUCGGCCACGGCUCCGGCCGCCGUUGGCGAGGGUCUCGGCCGGAGUGCGCGUGCGCAUCGGCUUCGCUUCAACUCCGCGACACUGUGGACAUCCCCUACCCACGCUCUACCCUACUUCUUCCACCUCAGUCACGAGAAGGGCGGGCAGCCGCCAUGGCCGACCCUCGGCCGGCCGCUAGGGCCCGAUAGAGUGCAAGCCAACGGCCGAGCGAGCUUCCAUAGGGGUUGGGGAGGGUGGUGCUCACGCUGCAAGGCUCGGAGAAGCAGCUGAAGCCGCUGGCGACGGAAGCAGUGUCGUCGGGCGGGAGCUCUGGCUCCGGCAAGCUUGUUCCGGCGGUCCUGCUCACAUUCAAGGAGAAGGAGCGAGAGCAUGAGCAACCGGGGCACGGAAGGGACUUGAAACAGUCGCCAGCGGGGUGUGAUACUCACUGGAACACCGUGGCCACGGGAAGAGCUCCGCGGCGGCGGUCUCGGCCGGAGUUGGAGAAGAGCAGAGAAGUUCUGGCGACUGGGUGGGUUAGAGAGGGAGCUUGGGGGUGCACUGGGUCCGCACGAAGGUGACGAAGACGCUGGGUUGCUCAAUUUGGCGCGAGGGGAACUGGGUACGGUGAAUUUCAGGGAGAGGGACGUCGAGUUUUCUCCGGCCGUGGACAGUGGAAACGGACGGCGUCGUCCACGUCGGUGCUCAAGUGGAGGGGAAGGCGAGCCCGAGGCGUCCACGUCGCCUGGCGACCCUGGCAGCAAGCAGCUGCGUGCCUGCGCGCGCGCACGCGGCGCUCCGCGCACGGCGGCCGCGCUGGACAGGGAGCCGGUGAUCCCUAUCGGGUCACUGUAGCAACCCUUAUCCCCUCUUUUCUGGAUUUUGUGAAAUUCAGCCGAAAUUUGAACUGGAGUCAAAUUUGUGUCAAAACAAAAGUUGUUCCAAAUUUUAUAAGCUACAAAACAUGUUUUGGUGACCAGAGCUGAUUUUGAGUGUAACAGGGUGAAUUUGGCCAAACAGUUUGAAAAUCAAACUCAAAUCAAAGAAAUUCCAAAUUUUUGAAUUGGGGCAAAACAGAAUUUCCAAAAUUACUUUUGAUUUUGUAUAAUAACUUGAAAAACUCCCAACAUGAAAGUUGCUCAAAUUUUUGUGCUCUACAACUUUCAUGUUGACCACUUUUCAAAAUUCCAAAUGGAUUUUGAAUUGGGGGUUUAAGUUGGAAAAGGGGACACUUUCUGGAAAUCUGUAUUUUCAAAAUUACUUUGAAUUUUGUACUGAAACUUCAAAAACUCAAAACACCAAAGUUGUACAUCUUGCCAAGAGUUACAACUUUGCUUUUGAACUCAACCUCAAAUUUUGCUUAGUUUUUGACUUAUGAAAAAGGGGACAAAUCUGGGAUCCAGGAAUCAGGGUUUUCCCCCCUAGCUCUUCGGAAAACUUCCACCCUAGGGUUUUUAGCAACCACACAAGCAUCAACAUCACACAUAAACACACUCUACCUCCCUAAGCUCAAGCAAUAAAAUGAAACUCGUUUUAAGUUGAUGCAUACUAAGGUGCUUUAACAAUUAUGCUUUGCAAUGCUUAUGAUGACAUGAUCCAUUUUUAGUAACCGUAACAUCAGGGAUGUUACACCGUCCGCCCGCCCCGACUCUGCUGGGAUUGCGGUGGGCGCCCCUGGACGGAGCCACGCCAGGGUUGGAGGGCUGAAAACUGGCAGACCUUCCUCCUGGUUCCCGGGCUCUUGCGGCGCCGGUAGUACCGGUUGGGGCGGACUGCGAGGAGGAGGCUCGAGCGGCUCCUCCGACAGCUGGCCCCCUGCUGCUGCUGCUCCUGGAGUUCCUGCGGCUCCUGCCGGCGGUCCUGCUCUAGCGACCCCUCGAGCCGGGAACCCGCUGGUGCCUGCCCCUCCUCUCUUUCCUUCAGCGGCGGCCGUUCCUCCUCCCGUGGUUGCUGCCGUGUCUCCUGCUUACGCUCCUCCUCCUCCUUCUUCUUCUGUUGCUCAACAGAGUGGAGCCCAAUAGGCCAAGGUGUCCGCCUCACAGUGGCGGAGGCCUCGACCUCCUCGUCCAUGGGACGGGCAUCCAUCGAAAGCCCGUCGCCGCCAGAUCCAUCACUAAUAGUGAUAGGUUCCGCCCCGACCCCCGAUCGAGGAGGCUCGGGGGCUCCCUCCUGCUCCUCGAGACGGGGCGCUUCAGCCCGCCUUGGCGAUGGCGAGAUGGACUCCACCACAGAUGGACGAGGCGGAGCGCCCUCGAUGCCAGUCGACGGCCGAAGACCGGAGUGGCCUGCAAGCGCUCAAUGACAAAAAUCAGUCGCCAUAACGACCGACACGAAGCAAACAUGCAGUUAGAAAUAAACUGCUAACUUGAAUCCUUAGGGACCGCUCCCACCUUGAGCCCUUUAGCCAUCGAAGGCUGAGCAUUCUUGAGUGUCCGCUUUAACCUGUAAAAAAGGAAUAGGCAUAAGCAAAGCCGGGGACAUACAGAGACAUCAAAGGACAGGAAUUAUGACGACGAAAACUUACCCCACAGGGAGCACGGCCUGCCUGUCGGUGCCUCGAGCGGCAGGCCUCGAGCCACCCCGCGUCAAGGCUCCAGGCCCCUCACGGGCAGCCGUAGGCCUUGGUCCAGCGUCGCCCGCCUGACGGGCGACGGGGCUAGCCCUCCUGCGGCCAGUCUCUCCCUUUUCGGAGGCCGCGGCGCGGCCACGGGUCAACGGCCCCGUUGCCUGGGGCUUAGCCUGGCCACCCGCCUUUGGUGAAGGGGGAGGUUGGGGGCGCGGGGCGACCCGGUUCGGCGCGGGCGCGGGAGGGGUGUCAGCGCGGGGACGGUGAGAUCCGCCUGGCACUUCUUUUGGCGCUCCCGUCCGCGGGGCGUCGACGUCGCCUCUAGGCGGACCCUCGAGGAUCCGAUCGAGGCGAGACGCCAUCCCCUCAGAAUCGUCGCUGUCGUCAUCGCCGGCUCUCCCGUCGUCCUCACUGGGGGAGUCUUCCUCAGGCUCUCCCCUUUGCCUAGACUUGGCCCGACGCACCUCUAAUGAUUGGCGGUCGAGAUUCUUCUUCUUCUCUUUCUUCUCCGAGUCCUUGGCGGACUUCUGCUUCUCUGCGGACUGAUGCCGCUUGUCACGGUCAACCUCGUCCUCCUUUACUAGAGGCCUCGAGGACCGAACGUCGAUCGGUCCCUGCGAGAGCAAGGACAGGCUCAAAAAGGGGAUCGAAGAGAAUUCAGAAUCAAAGCCAUACACAAGGAAAUAACUUACCAGGUCGAUUGAGCCCACCUCAGGACUCAUGGGGAAGCCGUUGACGUGCUCCGGCUGGAAGUCGCCGGCGGUGGCCGCCCUAACCCGGGCCGCGACCUCGUCGUCCGUCGGAGCCUCGUUGGACUGGUGAGCUUGGACGACGCCGUACGUCCAGUUCUCCGGACACUCCGUGAUUAAACGGCCGGUGUAGGCAGGAAGGAGGUCGUCGUCGUUUUUCAGGUAGAACCACUGGGAGUCCCAUCCGGUGUGGUUCGAGGACAAUCCCACCGGGAUGUACUCGCGUGGCCUCUUCGUCUUCCCCAUCUUCAGCACCAGGUUGAAGCACCCGGCCCGCACAGGUUUCCUCACGCCUGUAGUCCCAGUAGGGGUGUUGAAGAGUUCGCCCCUGUAGAGGUGGAGCCAUAGGUCCCAGUGGGGCAUCAUCCCCAAAUAGCCCUCACACACCGCGGCAAAGACCGCCGCGACGGUAAUGGCAUUUGGGGAGAAAUGCUGGAGCUCCACCUCGUAGUGAUGGCAGAGCGCCCGCAUGAAGCGACUCGGAGGAGUGCCCAGGCCAUGGCGGUGGAACUUGGCGAACGAAACCACAUAGCCCUUGGGCGGCCUGGGCUCCCGGUGGUCCGCCGGCGGCGCGAUCCACUCCGGUGACGAUAGCGAUGUGCGGUGGCGCAGGAGUCCCUCCCUCUCGAGCUCCAGCAACAGGCGCUCCGUCAUCGACGACGGGCGCCAGUCGUCGGUGGCGACGAGUCUCACAGGCAUCCUUGGGUGGAAGAAAGGCGGAUCCGCUACUGCUCGAGGGUGCGCGCUUGCGUGAGAUGGCAAGGAGGCAAAGACAGGAAUGAGGGCGGAAGGCAGAAGGGAGAACGGCAACCAGGCCACGGGAUAUUUAUAGACGGCAACCACCAACGGGCAGAUCCGAUAAAUACGGUAACUCCCCGUGUAAAUGCGCCACCUAACGGUCUUUUUUCUCCUCACAGGCUGGGCGCUCCGAAUUCUGCGCCGAUACAGUGUCGCAACAGCUCCCGCCUGAAAAGACGCGCCCAACGGGCAAAAAGGCGAACCGCCACGGCCUCUUCCUUCCCUUGUAAGCCAAGGUACGCACCCACGAAAGCCUCGAGAGGUCACAGGCUGACUGGCCGAAAGGGUUCGACAGCCGAUCUCGAGCACCAGAGUCAGGGAUGCCCAACGAGUGGUCGAAAAUCAAGGCCCGCCUCGAGAAUUCGCUGGGGAUGUCCGAGGUAGGGUCGAGACAGUCGAGAGGAAUCCCCCCGACGGGAGGCAUCGAGCCACUGGACUCUAUCGAAUGAGACCAGCAUCCCCAACAACGUCGACCCUGCUUUAUGAGAACGCCUCCGGGCUACAGCUCACCCCCUCGAAAGGGGCACAGGUUCUCACUCGGACUACCCGUUAGGAGCUCAAUCUAGGGUGGAUGACGCUCGCUCUAUCGAGAGUACGUCGAAACCCCAACGCAAAACAAGCCAAACAGAGCCUUCCACCACUGCUGUCGACAGCGCUUCUGUGAAUUAGGCGAUAUAACCCUUGAAGGAGUCAAAAAACUCCUCCAAGGGCUCGUGGGCUACCCCCGCGGGGUCGCUCGCGCGCCCCCACAGAAAUUCGACAACAAAAAUACAGCCUCCACUCGAGCGCAAGCGCUCGAAUGAAGACUCGAGGGCUACUGUCGAGGGUAUCAGUAAGGGGUAUCCCAACUGAUGUACAUAACGAAAUCGCCCGUACACAAGUCGAGGCCCCCAACUCGACGCUCUACCCAAUCACGCAUAUAAUCAUCGACGACCGCAGCCUCGAAGACGGAAAGGGCGUCGAGUGAAUCGAUCAGGGCUCGAGCGCCGACUACCAUCGAAUACGGAAACAGGCUCGAGCGAACCAGAAGGCGUCGAGAGCAAGGACGCCGCCCUCCGCCUAACGCGCGCACGGGAAUCAGGGCAUUUAAUGCGCCUGUCAUGUUCUCACCUAACACGCCAGUCACGGGAAACGUGAUGGGCGACAGGCACCCAUCCCAUCAUUCUUUUUGCAGCCUUCCCUACCAAAUAAUCCAGGACAUGUCAGAACGCAGGAAUCAGGGUCGGAACGUCUAAUCAAGACCCCCUCGAGACACCCAAGGUCAACGCUCUGGAUAGCAAGGCGCUACACGGCGUCUGACCCUCGACCAGACAUGUUUCCUUCCUGGGAAAGGGUUGGACGUCGAAUGAGAACACUGCAACCACUCCGACGUAUCAGCCGUCGUGAAGUACAGGCGUGCAGCAGAUAAGCCAGUCCAAGACGGCACGCAGAGCAGGAUACAGGGGCACGCAUAAUCAUCAUCAGGCUACCAAGACGGGACGGCUCGAGACCACGCCAGUACGGAGGCCUCGAGUAGGUCAGCGCGCCAUACCUCUAUCGACCCCUACUCUGACGCCUAUACUUGUACCCUGGGCUCCUCCUUGGAACUAUAAAAGGGGAGACCCGGGAAGAGAUACAUAAGACAAGACAUCACGCAAUACACCACAAGACAACUCACAAGCCAUACGUAGUAGAGCUUCCAUACAUCAUCUCAUUCCAUACCACGCUUGUAUUCACCCCUGUACAAGCACUUAGGUGCAAGAUAAUACAAACUCUCCCUCCCCCGCUGGACGUAGGGCCUUCUCUUGCCCAAACCAGGAUAAAUCUUUGUGUCUUUUUGCACCACCAUCUGGAAAAGGGAGCACGCAUACAAAUUCACUCGUUGGUGUGACCCCCCGUGGGGAAAACACCGACAAUGAACUAGUUCUUAGUUCCUGUGCUAUGUUCUUGAUAUGUUCAUAAUUAUUCUUCAUUGUUCAUCAGAUUAGUAUGAUUAGGAUUAGAAUUUGGAAUGGGAUGAUGGUUCACUGUGUUGUGAUGGUUGCUCUUAGCCUAGCCUGUCACUCCGAAGGGGUGGGGCCUAUGGGGGUUAGGAGUUGUUUCCAAUUACGUGAACAUGGUGUUCAGGUAUGCGGGAAUCAGUGGAUGUGUGGGUAUCUUUCGGGUAGAGGGGUAGGUGGCAGGGUAGUGACAGCUCUGUCAUCCUUUACAUUCCCCCACAAUCAGGUAUUCCGAUAGGAGUUCUAUAAAGUCUCUAUCGGCUAGGUAUCCAGCUGCGGGGAUCUCCCCUCAUCUCAGGCUUAGUUAUAACUCUAUUUAUUGCUAAUUAGAUGAUCUGCUAACAGUUCUAUGCAUAGUUAUAUGUGACCGAUGCCUGCUCAAGUAGAAUUAUUUCUUUUUUCUUUAUUUAUUAUUUCUCUUCUAUUUUAUCCUUGAGGUUGAUCCAAUGUGUGUCCACUAUCUUGAAUAUCAUGUUUAUUCCUGUUUACUCUAUGUCUACCAAACAUUCAAUAAGUAAUCAUGUUACACCAUGUUUGAUCCCUUUGCCUUCCUACGGGAAUUAUAAAUUCAACGCCCUUGAAUACUCACGGGUUGAAAUGCUACAAUGAUAUUUUUGUCCGCUUGCAGUUAUAUUACUUCUUCAUUCAUGAACUAUCGAUUAGCGUACCUAAGUACUAUUACUUAAGAUUGUAAUCCUUGUGCACUUCCAAGCGUAGUGCCACAGCUUUGCAUAUCGCAAGUAAGGAUGGUUAGGAAGCCCAAUCCAGCAUUCCUAAUUAUUGUUACCAGACUGCACUGCUAAGGCCAGCACCCUCAAGUUGCCUUGGGUUAUCUCUCUGAUGUAGCGAUAGUUACGGUAUGCCAACACCCGACAUUUCUGGUGCCAUUGCUAAGGAUGGAUCUAUGGUCUAUUUUUAGUAGUGACGCUAAGAAAUGCCAACAGCGAGCUGGUCGCUUGGGUUGUUGUGAUGACAAGCCCAUCUUCCUGAAUAGAGAUCGGGUAUGGCGCGAGACCUGGUCGGCCGCGUUACUUAGACCAUGAGGGAGACUCCCGCUUGGAGAGGUUGUCUUGAACUUGACAGUUCGUCCUUCGCGCGUUACCAUCAAGGACGUCCCCAACCGUUCGUGCGUGGUGGCAUGAGUUGGUCGAUGGGAGUCAGAAAAAUUUGGUGCUGGUGCUGAAGCGGUCUGGUGUGAGAUUGAAUCCACCAGAUCGGAGACUUCGAGAAGUCUAUGGUUGGCGUGAUCGAUGGCUUCAUGUAGAUCAGAAUUAUCGACUUGUUUUCCCUUGUAGCGAGGAAGCACAGGUUGAGUUGUCGGGGUCGUAGUGGUCGUGGUCAUCGUGAUUGGGGCCACUACUUUUGCUAUUUGAGGUCGGAUCUGAUUCUCUUCCAAAGUCGUGGUCGUAAGGCCACCGGCGUGAGUCGACCAGGUGAUGUGGCCGACGAUGAAUGUGAGGCCUUCAGCCACGGCAAUGGAAGCAGGGAUGAUGACCAUCUUGUUCGUCUGGAGAGUUACACACACACCCCCUACCUGGCGCUUCACUGUCGACAAAAGCUAGUUAGCAGUCUACCUUGGAGUAUACCCUCGGCAGUAGUUUAUCAGUAGACAGGUGCACAAACUACGAACUCGAUGGUGACGCAAGAUACAGACAAGGAUUUUAACCAGGUUCAGCCGCCGUGUGGGCGUAAUACCUACAUCCUACGUCUGAUUGUAUUGCUGUGUGUUGAAUUGAAUUGUUUAAGCGGGGUCCCUUGCCUCUCUUUAUAUAGUCUAGAGGGUAGGGCUACAAAUCUAGAAACUAAUCCUAGUCGGUUACAAUCGCUAUAGAUAACACGAUAUCAAUUCCUAUUCUAACCGACUAGAAUCCUGCUUGAUCUCCACAUCUUGUUUCCUUGUGCGAAACUCCGAGUAGUUGGAUCAAGCCUCGAACUGUCUCGUAAUGGACCAAGUCUCCUAGCCCAAGUCUAGCCGUAAGGGUAUAGGGGUUUAUACCCCCACAGUUAUGGCUAAGUCUGGGCCCGAGGUGGCUAAGUCUGCGAAUUGCGCCCAAGCCGCACCUAGAGAUUCCUUCUCUUCUUGCUUGAAGGUUAGGAUCUCUCUACGGAGACGAGCCACAUGAGAAAUGGGGAAGUAGGUCAGGCAAAACUUGGCUUGCAGCUUCUCCCAUUCUCCAUCUGCACUACCUCCAUAGCGAGAGUACCACUGUCUGGCUUUUCCCAUCAAAGAGAACGGGAAGAGCUUCCACUUAAGGGUAACUCGCCUCAUCCCUUGGAUGUGAAUGCACGAGCAAAGCUGCUCGAAAUCACAUAGGUGGGUAUAGGGAUUUUCAUCUCCUUCUCCUAAAACGGGAUUCUCCUAAACCAUCGCUAUGAGACUUGGGCGAAGCGCAUAAUAAACGGCCAAAAUGGCCUGAGAAGAACUAGGCGGCUCCAGCUCAACGUGUGAUGGAGCAGCGUAGUCAAAGAGGGUUCUUUGAUCCAUGGGAUAGGUAAACGUUCUAAUCAAACAAGGAUAACUUGAUGACUUUGAGUCUAGUUAACCAGCUACCGUUCCUCUGCAAUGGCGCCAGAAAUGCUUGUUGACUCUUUUUAGCGUCACUACCUAGGAUUGUCAGUCCUUGGCAUAGCACUAGAAAUGCUUGUGUGACACCAGAAGUCGCAAACAGUUUUAGCGCAAGGGGACGGUGGUCAAUGCAGCACUUCACCAGGAGUAUUCUAGGUAUCGUAUUUUCCACGGGGAACGAGAAGUGGACUAACUAGACCAAUUGAGUCGUCGGAUGAUGAUCAAGGGCUUAGGAUUGGGUGGAGAGGUAUUUCUAGUAUUUGGCUUCUGGUUAAGCUAUUCUAAGUAUACUAAGAGUUAACUCCCUUCCUACUAUGGCCGAUAGGUGAAAAGGGUGUGGCAAAACACUUCCCUAGGCAGCUACCAUGCAGGCCAACUAUUAUUUGCAACUUGCCUAACAACACACUGAAGAGAACUCCUAAUGUCCAGCAGAGUCCUGUCACACUUUGCUGCUAGCGUUCUUCAUGUGCGACAAGAAGUCCUCAAGGGCAACCUUAGUCUAGACACCAUGUCUACACUAAUUCUACUACUCUAGACCCAGCUAAGGUUUCGAGCACUUCACACAAGGCAAAACAAUGUGCCAGUAGGCCAGUUGUAUACUUAAAAUAAACUAAGACAGAAAGUAAAUACUGGAAGUACUCAGAUGAAAGGCAACUAGAAGGAAGACAUACUAGAAGACAAGCAUCCGCUGAGGCACUCUUGGAAGAAGACUCCCGACAAGCCAGGACUCCUACUCGGGGAACUCCUCACUCUCUUCCCUCUAUUCUUACACUUAGCUAAGAGUAGGUCUUCCUAAGAUACAUCAUGCUUACCUAGGCUCUCUAAGGGGGUAUUUAUAGGGGGGCUACUCUAGUGCCACGUCAGUGAUCCGCGUGCUCCCUCUUCUCCACUGUUGGAUCAAACCGACCUUGGAACCGCCACAUGAUCAAUGGUUGGGGAUUUCCAUCACAUGUUCAUCAUGGGGAUGUUGGUGGGAGUGAACUGACUUAAGGUGGGCCCACAUCACAGGUCGGUCGACCGACCUAUUGCCUCCAUGUGGGCCCCACCAACCUUCUAGAAGGUGCUGAGGUCGGUGGGAGUGUGGGCCAGGUGGGGGCCCACAAAAUGUGGGUCGGGGCUGACUUACCCAUAGGGGGGUUGGCCGACCACCUUGCUCCACAUGUUGUCCCCACUUGUCAUCUCCAAUGUUUUGUUGAUAUGUGGUGGUUUCGGUUCUUGAUCAUCUAUGCUUCAUUUGAGCUUGAUUAAGCUUGAUUAGUGGUUGUUUGCACCUGCAUCCAAAUAAUGACAUGUACAUGUGGAACCAAGUGAAUUGUACCUAUGUCACUAAUUAGUUGCUCGGUGUUAUCCCUAGAACUUAACCAUUGUUGACUAUUUUAGUGGUCGAAAAUCAUAGUGAAAACACCGUCAACAGCUACUAGGACUGAAGGUGGAGGGAGGUCAAGGAGACCGUGCGGCAAUGGAUCUAGCGGUGUGACUUCCUCCCCUCAUGCAGUGUGACACUAGAUGUGGGGGGAUGUUGCGUGUCCCUCUGCCUACCCCUUAGGCGAGACCAGACCCCUCUAUCCAACGUGUAAGUGCACCUAGUAGUGCCUUUUUAAACAUUGAGUAAAUUAUUUAAUAAGUAAUCAUAACUAAUUAAGAAGAGCAAAAACUUUAAUUGUCCAAACGCCGAGUCAUUAUUGCCUAAUCAUAGUUACUAAUGACUAGUAGUUGUUCCAAGUAGAACUCACGGUUUCAACUCUAAUUUUAUAUACACAACUUGUGACACGAUAUAAGAUUGUAAAAGGUUUUCAAUAAGUAAUCAUAGCCAAUAAAGAAGAGCGAAAACUUGUCAUUCCUGCUUAAUCAUAGCGACUAAUGACUAGUAGCGUUCAAAGUAGAACUCACGGUUUCAACAUUAAUUUUACACUAGGUUUGUGCACGUGCGUUGCUACGAGAUAACUAAAUUUUUAUACUAAAAUAUAUAGAUCAAAUGAUAAGAUAACAAUACCAUGAAAUUAAAUAACAACGUUAAAGUAAUAUUUACAUAAAAUGAACAUGUUUUCUGGAAGACAAGGAUAUCGAAAGUUAGGAUUAGUAUAACUUGGCCUAUUAUAUAUAAUUAGAAUAACAACAAAUAAGACAAUAUAAUAUAGCAUGAUAAUAAUUAUAAAAAUGUGCUUACACAAAAGUGCAUGUCCAUAUAAUGCUUCAUAAUACUAUUGUCUGUGCUAAUGCUAUGGUGCCACGGUGGCGUCUAGAAAUAGUUUACAUUUUGACCUAAGAAUUAUAUGUAUUACAACAUACCUCACACAUUUCAUAUGUUUUAAGAAAAAAAAACUUGUCACACAAGGACAAUUCAUGACAAAACAUUUCCAACCAUGAAACUUUAAGAUAUGCAGCGUACUUGUCUUUAGUUUGUUUUUGGUAGCAACAGAUGUACAUCGAAACAUAAAUAUGAAAUCAUCUAUGAGCUUUUGGUAGCAACAAGAAUAUGUGGAAUGAAGUCAUUUCCUAUUAAGAAACAAAUAAAUAUGAAAUCAUCCAUAAGCUCCUCAAUAUCUGUUUUGACAACUGGGUUUGCUAUCGUCAAAUCAAGCUCUGGGUACUCCCUUGAAACACCCAAAAUUUGAUUUUCAAUUUAUGGGUUAAUUUUGAUUUAUGUAAGUUUGUGAGCAUUUAAUUCAGCAAAUAAAUAAAUUUUGUUGAAAUUAAAAUCCAUCAUAAGGUUAGUAACAUGUUUUUGCAUUCAUGUUGGUCAUUGUUUUAUUUCGUGCUGUGUCGUUUUGUUCAAAUUUAGAUUUGGAUUCAAAUUCUCUUUAAAAAUGGCUUUGAAAACUAGACAUUAAUAAGGAAAAGGAGAAGAGGUUCCACUAACUGCUUUUGGCCCAGCUCAGGACGAAGGCGCAACCUUAUUCCACCUAGCCUAGCGAGAUCCGCAACCUCAUCCCAUGCGCACUCGGCCCAAUCGGCCUGCUCGAGCAGCCCAACUCACCACCAACGUGCCCCUCUCUUCCUCUGUUUCAUUGACCGGUGGGCCCUGUUCAUUUUUCUUUCGGCUUUGCAUGCUCUCGGUGCACGGCUAACGCUUGCCGAACAUCUUGCAGGGACCGCCGCCCGCCUUCCGCCGUCGUGAGCACUCUCCAAUCGCUCUCGGUCCCAAUCUUUGCCCUAGCUAAGCCCGCAUCGAGCCCCUCUAUGCUCCGUGCUUUCGGUUUGAUCUCUAGUUCCCUAAAUCAAUGAUUUGGCCAACGCCGGCCAUCACCGGCCAUGGUGAGGCGGGUUCGGCCCCAACUUCGGCCGGCCAUCUUCCUUUCCCACCCCGAUCUAAUCUCGGCCGUUCGAACAAAAUCUGACGGCCUAAAUCGAAUGAUACCCCUUCGGCCGUAAUUUUUUUCAAAAGAACCUCUGUGUUAUUUAAGUUGUAAACCCUCGGUCCUUGGCACAGUUGACAAAUACGCUCUCUGAUUUUGAAGACGUAAACUCAGUACUCAGAUUCAAAAUACGUUUUCACAAAAUUACAAGUUUACCACUAGUUUUAUAUUGCUCAUAAAAUAUUCGUUUUAACUCCGAUUUGACCCAUUCAAAUUGCGUUAGAUUCGUAAUCAUGAGAUCUACAGGUUAGUCUCACUGUUUUACUAGUUUUAAACUUUUUAAUUUCGUGACCCUAUUUAAUUUCUUUAUUUUUCUGAAGAAAAUCUUAGAAAAUUCAUAACUUCUUCGUUUUAGCUCCGAUUUUUGUGAUCUUUACAUCUAUGUGAUCAUAGUGCAACAUAGAUUUGUUUUACAAACUUUUCAUCUUUAUUUUCUACUCUUGAUGUAUUGUUCUAAUUAUAGAUUUGUUUGCUUUGUAUGAUUGCCUCUCGAUGCUUGUUGUUGAUGUGAUGGUUGUGUAUAGACGGUGAGCUUUACGUGGUGAUCAAGAAGCAGAUCAUUGAAGGUUUGGAGCUAAAAGAAACAACUGAGUUUUAAGGGAAGUAUAGCAUGGAAUCAUCCUUGUUUCCUAAUAAUUAUAAACAUGUAAUUCAUGCUGCAUGUGUCACCUUGCUAAGGAUUUCCUAGUAUUGAUCUUAUACCUUGUCACCUAUGGUUUUGCAUUAGGUAACUUAUGCUAGUGCUCUACUAAACCUUGAUCUUGUAAUUUGAUUAAGAGAAUAUGCAAUAAACAUUAAAAGAUGACUUUUUAGCAAAAUUGGUAAAGAGGGCUAGAGUAUUGCGUUAUCUUAUGGUGCUCUAGUUUCUCUCCGUAAGGACUUUUCUGUAUAUGACCAUCCGGGACAUACAAUACAACGGUGAGGGCUACAUGGCCCUAGCUUUAGCUUAGUAUGAGGAUCUUUUCUAGCUUGUUAGAGGUUACCCGUGUGGUGCAAAUGGUUAAUAGCAGACUUUGAAUUCCCUGCGUGGUAGAAUCGCAUGGACUGACUAAUGAAACCAAGCGGUCCUAACUUGUUAGAUAAACCUUUGAAAGGCUUCAUAGUGAACCCUGCCGGUCUUCCUUGGUAGUGGGCUAAGAGGCUGAUCACCUCAGGCGAAAGGGUAAAUCACGACUCACAGUGAAAGUGUACAACCUCUGCAGAGUGUAGAACUGAUAUAUUAGCCGUGCUCUUGGUCAUGAGUGGCCUUGGAGCAAUACUGAAUAAAUGUUCAUUAAUGGCAAAUCAUUAAUGUUAUUAUUGGUAAUAUGUUGUUUAUGCUAUUCUUUAUUCACUUUACUUGAUCAUGAGUUUACUUUGGGAUUUGACAAUUUGAUGCUACUCAUAUGCUAAAAUUGUGGCAACUAAAAGCUACAUGCAGUUAAACCUGUGUCUAGCCUUUGAGCCUCAUGAACCCCAUGUUAUUCUUGCUGAGUAUGAGAUGUACUUACUCUUGUCUUUACAUUUUAUUUGGAUAAAAAUCCUAGAUGGGUACCAGAUUGCUAGUUUGGAGAAGAGUUUAGGCUUGUGCUCAACCAGUCAGUUGUCGCUGUGGAUUUGGAGCUUUCACCUAAAGAAUGGAGUGUCUUUUCGCUAUUUGCUAUCUAAGGUUAUAUAUUUUAUAUUAAGUUCGUUAUAUAUUAAGCAUUGUCUAUUGAUAUUCCCCUUAUUUGUAGCUAUAUGUGAGGUUUGACUUCCUGGGCUCACAUAUGGUGUGUAUCUGGUUUUGUUCUUAAAACCGGGUGCUACAAAGUGGUACCAAAGCAAUGCUGGCUGUAGGAUGCAAGCCUAGAUAGUAAUGGUCAUUUUAGUCAUCUUUGCUUCACUACAUUCAUGCUUACUAUCUCACCCUUGAUAUUUGCUAAAAUUCUUAUGCUUCUAUCAUCUAAUUCUAUUAUAAAAGUAUUGCUUCUAUUCUAACUUCCUCUUGUUCUAAUUCCAUAGAUGGUUCGUAACGAAAACAUUGCUCGCAGAAACUCUGGAAGACCGUGCUUGAUGGGGUAUCUAUGGCUUAACGGAACCAGAGUAUGAAGAAGCUCGUCAUGUCACAUCAAGACAUGCUUGUUGGCGGAAGGAGUACUUUACCACAUCCUUUAGUGGUGAAGAUUUCUUUCACCACCAGCUUGUGCGUAUACUACAAGACCACUAUCCAAAACAGCAAGCCAAGGUGGAAUAUAAAUGCACUAAGUGGACUCAUCAUAAGUAUGAGAGCCACUGGAGCACAGAUGCACACAUCACAAGGUGGAAUGAGUUUACUGGUUCACGCGUGGUGUUGUAAUAGAACCGCCCAAAUUAUAAGAGAUUAAGCCUGAUAGCGACCGUUUGCAUAGUCAACUUGCCAAGAUCGUAAUAAGUCCAUCAAUCACCAUCCACAAAUACAUUCAGUUCGCAACAUUCAGAUGUUACAUCAGAGUUCAAAUAUAGUUAUUACAAACCAAGUUCAAGAGUAGCGGAAGCAUCAUAGUUUUAAAAUAACACACACACUUAGUCUGAUGCAGUGCCAUACUUCCGUCAUUCCCACAACAGCAAAAGAGAAGGUAGAGUGACCAUUGCCCUUGGUUUUAGUCAUCACCCAUCGCUGGGUACAAGCAGUGAAUGCAAUACCCAUAGUACAUCUGCCCAUCUACAAAACAACAUGGGAAUGGAACCCUGAGUACGAGAAGGUACUCAGCUAGACUUACCCAUCAUAAACCAAAAAUAAAAGGCUCUUCAAGGAUCAUGAAGGUUGUAUAGUGGGAUAGCUGAACCCUUUUGCGUAAAAAGCGUUAACCAGCUAGAAGUAUAUCCUGACAUCCCCUUUUCUUUUAUUUAGCCCAAGUUAGGUAUUAUUACCUAUCAUCUAGAUUUGCACCUGUACUAUUGCAAACAAUGGUUGUGAUAUGAUAGUACCUUAUCAUAGCAUUCACAAAUCGUUCAUUAUAGUAACCACAAUGUUCCAUAGUCCUUACUACGAGGAUGAAGCUCAAGUCAACUGCUCACUAAACAGGAGCGAUGGCGAUUCGAAUUGAUUUCUAACCAGCUAGCGAGUUAUUCCCCACACAAACCACACUCACUAAUUAAGUGAGCUACAGGUCAUCAUAUUACACUAUCUAGGACCAAUUCAUGGGUUCAGCAGGCACCAUCAGUACCCGAGGACCGUUCCGGCAUCUGAGGUAUCCAAGGUAUACCAAGGUUGCGCGCCGCGCCCUCGUCGUUCUCCUCAACCAUCACCAAUACAGCACAUGGCGGCUCGACUCACGGCCCGGAUAGUGUUCAGGUUUCGCGGUCGGAACAACUUAUCCUUCUAGCUAAGUGUGGGGCAUGCUUUCAACAAGACAAGAGGGCCGUCAACGAUUGGUCCUUAAUCGAAGCAGGCAGGGGCCAUACGGUCAACACCACCAGAAGACCCUGCCUGGUCUCAGUUUAUUUCCCACACUUGGUUACUUUUCACCAUAGUAUUGACAACUAGCAUUCAGGUAUUGUUGGGUAUUUUAAACGCAAACAGAAAAAUCCGCAAACGCACAAAUACCGAUGUAGCUUUCACCCGGGAGUAUUCCAAAGUAUCGAUUUUCCACAGGGAAUGUGUGUGUACUAAUUAAGAUUCAAGAUCGCCCAAGGAUAACUAUAUAAUUAUUUUUAGUGGGAAGAGAGGAAGUUUCCUGAGAGAUCACUAACCACAUAAAGAGAUGAGAAGGGGGCUAGGAAGCUCUGACUAUGGUCCUACAAACACCGAUCCGAACGCGGUAGGAUACGUCGACUGUUAGGGCUGUCACUACCCUAGGGCUACCACAACAAUCCGCAGGAUUGGAUGCAAUUCCAGGUAAUUGCAAGACUAAACACCACGUCUAUUCUAGUAAUUACUACUCUAGCGUUAUAAAGAAAAGAGCACUUGAUGCAAGCGAGAAUCCAAUAAAUAACUUGAAUGUAAAUAAAAGUAAUUAAAUAACUCAGGAAUUAUGAAUUGAAGAACUUGGAGAAUGAUGAAGAAUGAACCAGUUGUUGCAAAAGUACAAUGUUGAGAAAGAUCCGACAGAUCUGGCUCCUCCGCUCUACUCUUCUCUCUCCCUAUUUUCUAGAUUACAACUAGAACUAACUAGAACUAGAACUAGGUGAACUAGAACUAGAACUAGAUGAACUAGAGUGAUCCUCUCUACUUGGAUGAAUAAUUGAAACCCUAGCUUUGAUUCUGUAGAAGAGGUAUGCCUCCAGGGACUGGUGGGGGCUUGCUUAUAUAGCCCCUCUAAAUGAAUAUAAGCCGUCGGAUCAAAGCGACCUUAAUCGUACGGUUUUCCUUAAUCCUUUAGGUCGGUGGAGCAUGAUCCGCGAGAUGGAAGCUGAUUGGCUCCUGUAGCUAGGCGGGCGCCCUAGGGGGGAGGGCGGGCGCCCUGCCCCCGGGCGCGCUCGGCCUCCAGUUUGUUCCCGUGGCUUCUGGAGUCUUCUAGAUGAUAGAAAAUUAGCGCACACGUUAAUAUCUCUAUGUAAACCCGACGUGUGGGUCUUUCCUCCGUAUUUCCUGAUAACCCCCUGCAGAAAUAGACAAACACCAAAACUCAUAGAAUUCUGUCAGAUAAAACCCUAAGUCUGGCUGUUGGUUGCAUAUAGGUCCUUUUCCAUGAUUAGUUGACGGUUAAAUGUGAGCAUUAAGGACCGUGAACAAGCUCCCCCAAGCUUAACCUUUGCUCGUCCCUAAGCAAAGCUAAAAAUCAGCAAGAAAACAGGGGUUACUUUUAUGCCUCUUACUACAGGGUUUUUAAGUUAUCACUAAGGUCUUAAGUGAUUGAAAAAUAGAACGAUUAAGUCAAGCACUAUGUCUCAAGUUCUUCUGUCUUACCUUUGUUCUGGAGUUUUUUGUAAGUUUCCAAAAUAAAACUGAGGCAUUUGCCUUCUUCUCGAAAGAUAUAAGUAGAGCUUUAAAAGUUUUAGCAUACAUACUUUGUAUUUUGCUAUGUCAAUGCUCGAAGCAAGGGAGAGGAAUGUCAUACUCCUAGAUCAAGACCUUUGACCUUUUUGAAAAGUUUGUCAUCUCUUACUCGCAUAUUUCUUAUUAGAGGGACCAUGGGCUAUCAUUUUUUUCUUUCUUUUUUCAAUCUCUCUUUUUUUUCUCUUUUUUUUCAAGUGGGCACCAAGUACCCCUAAUUCUACUAUCGGACACGUGUCCAUUUUUUCCACUCAGGUUGGUAUCUUUGUACCCCUAAUUCUACUUCGGACACUUGUCCAUUUUUACAUCUCGUCUCACUCUUUUUUUUUCGAAUCACAUUUUUGCAUAGUCUCAUGCCUCUAAUGCAAUAAUACUUUGGAAGAGUGAAUCUUUUAUAUGUUUAAAACAAAAAGAUCUUGAUCUUUGGAGCAUGAUAAUUCUCUCAACCAAAACUACGAGAAUUAACAAUGGCUUGAACAAAGCAAGUGCCCACAGUUUUAAUAUUUAUAUCUUAUAAGACUCUAGGUAUUAUGUUAAACAGGAUCUCAUUUUUUUGAAUUUUUAGAUUUUCAAAAGAUACAAUCUCCAGAACUCUAGCGAAACUAGGAACAAGUUAAAUAGUAGCUCAGACCUUCUCAUAUCAUGUUUGUCAAUUACCUAGACUUGGAUCAAACUUUCUUUUUAUUUUAUUUAAAACUUAGGAUUACACAAAACUGUUGUAUAUUACUCAAAAGAAAAACUUUGUUUGGUUUCAUGGUUAUGCAUUUUUUACUUAUUUCCAAAAACUAGUAAAUAAAACCAUGAAAGAAAAGUAAUACUUAUCUAGAUACACGUGGGGGUGCCUCCCCCAAGCUGGAUGUUGACAUAGUCAUUCACUCUUGUGGCCUACAUGUUCGGUCUCACUCUUCUUAAGCCUCAAUAUCCUGCACAACCCAAAUAGACAACAAAACUUGUGGAGCAUGUUAAGGGUUAGGUAAUUGUCUAGAGCUUAUGAGAGCUUAAUGUGAGAAUUCUAUGAACUCAAUCACAUCAAGUUCCUCUACCAGGUUGUUUUGUGGCUCGAGAUAGAUUUUCAAACGUUGACCACUUACCUUAAAAGUGUUACCUAUGUCGUCUUGGAUGGUAAUGGCUCCAUGAGUUGAAGUGUCAAUAACCUUGUAUGGUCCAUCCCACUUACUUCGUAGCUUACCAUGCCCAAAGAGCUUAACUCUUGAAUUGAAUAGUAGAACCUUAUCUCCAGGCUUAAACUCCUUGUGCUUGAUUCUCUUAUCGUGCCAUCAUUUUGUUAUCUCUUUAUAGAUCCUUGAAUUGUGGUAGGCUUUCUCUCUCCAUUCUUCUAGCUCAGAUAGUUGCAUCAAACGAUUCUCGCUAGCGAGGUGGAGAUCCAUGUUCCAUUUCUUGAGUGCCCAAUGAGCCUUGAACUCUACUUCCACAGGCAAAUGACAAGUUUUUCCAUAUACAAGUUGAUAAGGUGACAUGCCUAUGGGUGUUUUGAAUGCCCAAAGUGCAUCAAGAAGUUUGUCCUUCCACCGCUUACCCAUCUCAUCUACUAUCUUUUAUAAAAUAUUUUUGAUUUGUUUGUUAGAUGUUUUGGCUUGACCGCUGGUCUGAGGAUGGUAUGGUGUUACGACGUUGUGUCGAACUCCAUGAUCAGCUAGGUACUUCUGAAAGAUUUUGUCGAUGAAGUGGGAACCUCCAUCGCUUAUAACUAUCCGGGGUAUACCAAAGCGAGGAAAGAUUACUUCAUGGAACAUUCUCUUGGCAUGUUUUGAAUCAGCUGAUCGACAAGGUAGGGCUUCUACCCAUUUGGACAUGUAAUUCCCGGACAUAGGGAAUGGCCCCAUGAAAUCAAUGCCCCAUACAUCGAAAAGUUCUACUUGAAGAUUAUUUGUGAGAGGCAUUUCAUUUUGUGAGUUGAUAUUCCCAUGUUUUUGACAUCGGUGGCAUCUCCUGACAAAGUCCUUUGUAUCUUCAUACAUCUUUGGCUCGAAAAAGCCACUUUGCCAAAUUUUAGCAUGUGUCUGGAAUGCUCCAUAGUGUCCUCCAUAUGGCGAGGCAUGGCAUCUUUCCAUAAUUUGAGUAGCCUCAGCCAUAGGAACACACCUUCUCAAGAGUCCAUCAGCGCAGACUCGGAAAAGAUAUGGCUCAUCCCAAAGGUGGAAAUGACUAUCGUGAAGCAACUUCCUUUUGUUUGUACCAGGUGGGACAUAGCCUUUUACAAUAAAGUUUACGAUGUCUGCGUACCAUGGAUCUGCAUGUGUUAUCUUAACCAGGGUGUCAUCCCUUAGGUAGUCAUUUAUGGGAAGCUCAUCAUGUGUUUCCUUAUAUUGAAGCCUAGACAAGUGGUCGGCUAUGGAAUUCUCUACUACCUUCCUAUCUCGGAUUUCUAUGUAAAAGUCUUAGAGUAGAAGAAUCCAUCGAAUUAGACGAGGCUUAGCAUCUUUCUUAGUGAGGAGGUACUUGAGAGCAGCAUGAUCUGAAUAGAUGAUUAUCUUUGACCCCACUAAGUAAGAUCUAAACUUGUCUACAGCAAAGACAACAGCCAAAAGCUCUUUUUCAGUUGUAGUGUAAUUGAGCUGUGGUCUAGACAAGGUUUUGCUAGCGUAGGAUAUGGCAUAAUGCUUUUUAUCCUUGGUUUGUCCUAAAACGGCACCAACCGCAAAAUCGCUAGCAUCACACAUGAUCUCAAAAGGAAGAUUCCAAUCAGGUGGUUGGAUAAUCGGGGCUGAGAUGAGUGCUUUCUUAAGAUUUUGAAAAGAUUCAUGACACUCAUCACUAAAGAUGAAAGGUGCAUCCUUAGCUAGGAGACUAGAUAGGGGUCUAGCAAUUUGAGAGAAGUUCUUGAUAAAGCAUCUAUAGAACCCUGCAUGCCCCAAAAAGCUAUGGAUUCCUUUCACAUUCGUGGUAGGUGGAAGUUUUUCAAUAACUUCAAUCUUUGCUUUGUCCACCUCUAUCCCAUGUUCGGACACUUUAUGUCCUAGCACUAUUCUUUCCUGAACCAUAAAAUGGAAUUUCUCCAAGUUCAGGAUUAAGUGAUUUUAUUCACAUCGCUGCAAGACUCUAUCUAAAUUCUCCAAACAAUGAUUGAAGGUUUUGCCAUAGACGGUAAAAUCAUCCAUGAAAACCUCCAUGAUCUUCUCAAUCAUGUCUGAGAAAAUAGACACCAUGCAUCGUUGGAAAGAAGCUGGAGCAUUGCACAAUCCGAACGACAUUCGUCGGUAUGCAUAAGUUCCAUACGGGCAUGUAAAUGUAGUCUUUUCUUGGUCAUCUGGGUGGAUUGGGAUUUGGUGAUAUCCGGAAUAACCAUCAAGGAAACAGAAGAAAGAGUGGUUUGCAAGCCGUUUCAACAUUUCAUCAAUGAAGGGUAAUGUAACAGAACCGCCCAAAUUAUAAGAGAUUAAGCUAAAUAGUGACCAUUUACACAGUCGAACCAUCGUGCUUAAGCCCAUAUAAUCCCAGUAGUCCGUGAAAUCUCAAAGGAUUUCAAACCUCAACUCGUAUAUACAACCAAGAUCGUAAUAAGUUCAGCGGUCACCAUCCACAAUUACAUUCAGUUCACAACAUUCAUAAAAUACAUCGGAGUCCUUAAAAUUAUUACAAACCAAGUUCUAGAGUAGCUGUGGCAGAACCACCCUAAUUAUAUGGCCCACAUGCACCUGUCAUUGUCCUUAAGACCUCUGACUACUGCACAUGAGAGUCAUAUAACUCGGAUAGUCUGUCGGGUGCCCUCAGAGGACCCCGAAUCAUCCACAUUUUUUUCACUCAUACAGGAUCAACAUGGAGUUACCACAACAUUACAACAUUUAUUACAAAAAGGACUUACAUCAGAGUGCGGAAGAUUUAUAAUGUAAUUUACAAAAUAUGAUGAAGUACAAAUUUAACUAAAUUUCCAAAAGGUGUGUAGAGUAGCAGAAGCAUCUUAUGUGAAGCUUCUAAGGUAGAAGAGGUGGAUAAAUCAUAUCGCGCCCACCGACAUGACCUCCAUUAGCAGCCUAAGUCAGCACCUGCAACAGGGGUUAUAAAACCCUGAGUACGGGAGUACUCAACAAGACUUACCCGGCAGAAAAAGAGGAGAACUUAGGAAUGCAGGCUUAGGGUAGACAAGGAGUGGCUGAGCAAGGAGCCAAAUUGUUUUGCCAAAAAGCUUACUAAUAGUGCAUCCUUACUUUCAAGUUUUAUCCACGAAUUCCUCUCCGUAAGAGGUCGAGGAGUUCGAGGACAGUCUAUCUAGUUGCUUCUCACAGACAAGUCUGUAAGUUCCUAGUCCUUAAAUAAAGUAGUAUCCAUCCAACGGCCAUAGCUUCAUGUCACUCUGAGUCCGGGAAUUGGGAUCCGAACCUCAUGUGACAUUUCCCCAUUCCUCAUUUUACCACUUAGUUGCAUAUUUAACUACGAUGAGGGUCGAAGGAAUUGAGUCUCCCAAUCGGGGAGCACGACGAUUCGAAUCGCUUAGCAAUCCAGCUGGAGUUCCUAACCACCCGACAUAUGUAGAACUAAAUCUUGCAUAUGUCAACCCAAAUCAAGCUCUCCCCAAAUUUGACUAGGUUCGCGGCACCCGAGAGCACAGUACUCCACCAUCCUACAGCCGAUCUAGAUGUUUUCCGGUCAUCUCAGAUCCGUAAGGUGGGUACACACUACUCUCGCUAUCGCUCCACGCCCAGUGCGCGAGUAGCUGUUCGCAUCGAGGGAUCACAAGACCGGGCUUACCGAGGGCAAGUGGCUAGUACUAUAAAUUCUCAACCCAGCAGGCCAUCAACGGACCGGUCCUUAAUCGACACAGUUGGAGACACUACUUUAAGACUCCAUUCUUAAAGCAAGUCCACCGACCGGUCUCAAGUUGAAACAUCAAUGAACAUAAGUGUAUUCCACAAUAACCCUUCAAACUUUCUUGUUUGAAAACCUAUCUAGUAGCAGGGCUAAGCAUCACUACGCAGUUUUAAAAUAAAAUAGGUGUCAAGGACAGGAUAACAAAUAUCAAGGUAGUAAAUGCAGCAAGUAGGUUAACCUAAUUCUCAACUAACUAAUGCAGCAUUUUCAAUUCAUAAGUGAUAAAAGAUUUAAAACAUUCAAGGAGGGGUUAAUGCAUCCGGGGCUUGCCUUGGUUGCAGAGCUGAGAGGGACCCUCGGAGACUUCCCAAGUCUCGGAUCCUACUUCCUCGAAUGGAGCACCGACCUCGGGGUUCGGUUCAACGGUUGCUCCUUCGGUCACGUGCACUAUACGCAAAAUGAUGGAUGCUCAUGAUAUGCGUAUGACAAAUAUUUAAGAAGGACCGAGUUAACUACAACGGGCCUUCUUGGUGCAAUACAGACUAAACAAUAAUUAAAGUUGUUUAUCAUUUUAGUUUCUUUACCCAAGAGGUUGCAUCAGUAAACUAAGAUUCCUCUUAAUUCACAAUUAUCCUUAAUUAUCUAAUUAUUAAUCCUUUUUAUCUUAAUUAAUUCUUAAUUAAGUAUUAAUGACAGUAAUUAAACAUUAAUGCUAAACAAUAAUUAAAUGCCAAAGGUCAUUAAGGUUAAUGACCUCAGGUCAUCACACAAUCCCAAAAUCACUGAAACCCUAAUUUGAGAAUUUAACCAAUUAUUACCUAAUUAUUCUAGAAUUAUUAUUUAACUAAUAAUUAAGGGUUUAAUAAUAUUUUAUUCAAACAUUAUCCAAAUGCCACCAAAUUUUGUGUGAAGCCAGGGAAUAAUAUUCAGAGGAAUCCCACAAAUUUUGGUGAUUUUUGGACAUGCAAUUAAAUUAUUAAAAUUCAUAGAAGUUUUAUUUGCUAAUUAAAAGAGGCAAUUUUUAUACACCUGCAAACUACCAGAAAAAAAUAGAACCUAAUAUUUUUCCUGUGUUCUACUUAUUUCAUAGAACCUACACAAAAAAGUUUCAUCAUUUUUGGAUCAGUACAUAAUUUAUUACACCAAAUCAAAAAUAAAACACUUUUAAAUCGAAAAGGAAAAAGCAAAACAAAUUAAAACCUGGAGAGGCCCAGCCAAAAGGCCCGCAGGCCGGCCCAUACGGGUGCUGCGCGCGCGCUCUCCCUCUUCACGCGGUCACUGACGGGCGGGUCUCGCUCGUCAGACCCUCCUUCCUCCUCUCUCUGCGGGACGCUGACGGGGAGGUCCCACCCGUCAGCUCCUUCUUCUUCACGCGCGGCGGCACUGCCACGGCUCCGGCCGCCAUUGGCGAGGGUCUUAGCCCAUGCGCGCGCGCGCACCAGCCUCGCCUCGCCUUCGCGAACCUAUUGCCAACACUCAAUCGUGCUCUACUCUCUCCCUUCCACUUCGGCCUCGCGAAUGGCGGGCGGCCGCCAUAGCCGACCGCGGACCGGCCACUACGGCUCGGUAGAGCGCAAACGGACAUGCUAGAGAGCUUCCACGAGGGUGAGAGAGCGUGGUGCUCACGUUGCGAGGCUUGAGGAGGUAGCCGAGGUUGCUGGCAACGGAGGUGGUGCCGUCGGGCGGGCGCUCUGGGCUCGGCGGAGUUAUUUCGGUGAACCUGCUCGCGUCCAAAGAAAAGCAGCAAGCGCAUGAGCUUCUGGGUGACAAAGGGAAGUAGGAACACUCGCUAGUAUGGCAUGCUACCUUCAAUAACGGCUUGGCCACGGAGAGGGUUCACGGCGGCGGUCCCGGCCGGAGUUGGAGAAGAACAGAGAGUCCGAGCGAUUGGGCGGGUUAGAGGAAGAGCUAGGGGGUGCACUGAGCUCGCAAGGGUGUGGCGAACAUUGUGGAGUGCUCAAUUGAGUUGGAGAGGGAUCGAGUGCGGUGAAUUUUAGGGCGAAACAGGGUUGUCGGCGUUGGGCGGAAAAGGGAAAAACGAGGCGGCCGAGCAGUGGGAUCACCGAGGGGAGUGGAUGAGCACGCUGGGGGCUCGUCCACAUCACGGCGGGCUCGCGCAGCCAAGCAGCUGCGUGGCCAGGCGCGUGGCGGCACUGGACGCAGCGGCUCUGCCCCGGCGGCAGAGCAUCCCCCCUGCUCAAGCACUGUAGCGAGCUCUAUCCAACCAGUUUUGUGGUUUUGCAAAAUUCGCACAAAUUUUGAACUGAAGACAAAACUCCACCAAAAUGAAAGUUGUGCAGAAUUUUACAAGCUACAAAACUCCUUUCGGUGACCAAAGCUAAAUCUGAGUGGAAAUUGGUGAUUUUAACGAAACAGUUUGAAAUUCAAAACUCAAUUCAAGGAAAUUCAAAUUUUUGAAUUGGGGCAGAUCAGAAUUUCCAAAAUUACUUUUGAUUUUCCAUAACAACUUGAAAAACUCCCAAAAUGAAAGUUGUUCAACUUUUUAAGCUCUACAACUUUCAUGUUGGUCACUUUUCAAAAUUUCAAAUAGAUUUUGAAUUGGGGAUUCAAAUUGGAAAAGGGGACACUUUUUGGAAAUCUGUAUUUUCAAAAUUACUUUGAAUUUUGUAUUGAAACUUCAAAAACUCAAAACACCAAAGUUGUACAUCUUGACAAGAUCUACAACUUUUAUUUUGAACUCCACCUCAAAUUUUGCUUGGUUUUUAAAUUGCAUAAAAGGGGGCAAAACAAGGCUUUUAAAAAUCAGGGUUUUCCCCCCCAUUUUCUCGGAAACCUUCCACCCUAGGGAUUAUACAACCAAAAUUCCCUAAGCACAAUCCACCAAAAUAAACUUAUUUUAAGUUGAUGCAUAAUGAUGUGCUUAACAAAUAUGCUUUGCAAUGCUUAUGAUGACAUGAUCCAUUUUUAGUGUUCAUAACAUCAGGGAUGUUACAGUAGCGGAAGCUUCAUAGUUUGAAAAUAACACACACAUACUUAGUCUGAUACAGUGCCAUAGUUCGGUCAUUCCCACAAAGCAAAAGAGGAGGUAGAGUGACCAUCGCCCUUGGUCUAGUCAUCGCCCAUCGCUGGGUACAAGCAGAGUAUGCAAUAACCAUAGUACAUUUGACCAUUUGCAAAACAACAUGGGAGUAGAACCCUGAGUACGAGAAUGUACUCAGCUAGACUUACCCAUCAUAAACCAAAAUAAAGACUCUUCAAGGAUCAUGAAGGCUAUAUAGUGGGGUAGCUGAUGACUUUUUGCAUAAAAGCGCUGUUUUAUUAAACAUAACCUAAAGGAAUCCUUCUUCGUUUAAUUAGCUCAAGUUGAAAGUAUCAUUACCUAAUAUCUAGGUUUGCACCUGCACUAUGGCAAACAAAUGUAAUAAUAUGAUGGUACCUCAUCAUAGCUUUCAUGAAAUCAUCUAUCAUAUAACCCAAGUGUUCCAUAGUCCUUACUACGAGGACAGGGCUCAUGUCAAGUCCUCACUAUCCAGGAGCGAUGGCAAUUCGAAUCGAUUUCUGACCAGCUGGAGAGUUUAUUCCCCACACAAACCACACUCACGGAUCAAGUGAGCUACAGAUCACCGUGAUGCACUAUCCAGGACCAAUUCGCGGGUUCGACAGGCACCGCCCGUACCCGAGGACCAUUCCGGCGACCGAGGUAUCCAAGGUAUACCAAGGUUGCGCGCCGCGCCCUCGUCGUUCUUCUCAACCAUCACCAAUACAGCGCGUACAUCGGGCCGAUUCCCGGCCUGGAUAGUGCUCAGGCUUCGAGGUCGGAAUGACUUAUCCUUCCAGCUAAGUGUGGGGCAUGCGUUCAACAUGACAAGAGGGCCGUCAAUGAUCGGUCCUUAAUCGACGCAGGCAGGGGCACUACAGUCAACCCACCAUAAGACCCUACUCGGUCUCAAAUUCCAUUCCACACUUGGUUAUUCUUUCCCAAAGCAAUCACCGCUUAAUCAAGCAGGUAUCCACCUGUAUCUCGCAGGUGACAGGAAAUCACCCGACUUCUACCGGACUAAGCAAGCUAAGCAUAGACUCCGUGCCUAUCUACAUAGGACAAGGUAGGUACACAAGUGAUGAUGUCAAGGAGUACAUAUGCAUCAACGGUAUCAAGCAACUCCUAUCACUUAAAUGCAACAUAGUUGAACAAGCAUAAUAUAUCAUUUAUGUUAGCGAGAAUAGGGAGACUUAGAAUGCUCCGGAGCUUGCCUUUCUCAAACGUGCUCGGUCUGUUCUCCGGGCACUCCUGCAGCUCUUCUCCGGGCUCUGACACUCCCAGAGGUUCCUGCUCCUGUGCUUCCUCCUGCUCCUCGGGUCCCACCUCGUUCUCCUGCGAGCCUGUAUGAUGCAUGGGUGCUCAUGAGUGGAGUGCGAGAUGCCCGGGGUGCAAUGCUUAUGCAAGAGGAUACCAAAUGACCAUGACAUGAUACAUAGAUGAUUUAAGUUGUCAUUUCUACAAGGUAGUCAACAUCAUCCAAGAACAUGCAAUUGAGUUAAGCAUCUAUUGCAUUCUCUUCUACAAUUUGUAUUCAUGGUUAACCAGCCCUCACAUGAUGAUUCAAAGAUACACCAAACAUCCUCUUACUUUAUUUAAUCUAUGUAUAACAAUUAUAAUUUCUUUAUCCACUUUUAGGCCUACCAAAAUAGCAUACAUUUCUGUUUAUCAAUAAGUCCCACAAAAAUUAUAGUAGACUACUAGUCACUCAUAAAGUCUACCAUAAAUUUUUCAUAAUAUUUGAACACUUAUUUUGAGCUAACAAAAUCACAGAUUAAUCCAUAUAAUUAAGUAUAAUUAUCCUACUGUUGUGUAAGUGUCAAACAGUAGAUUUCAUAUUUUUAUAAUUUACUUAUUAUCAUAAGAAACACCCACAAAAAUUUUCAGAUUAAUUGCAUGAUCCAAUUAUUUAUUAAAAAUCCUACACCACUGCCAUGCAAGCAUUUAAAUCAACAUAAAUUCAUUAAUACAGCAAAUAAUGUGUAACAUAUUUUUCCCAGAGCCUAAUCAUCCAUGCAGAGCCAAUAAAACAAGUUUCAUAUUUUUCUGAGUUAUAUUUUAAUUGCUAUGCAUUUUCCAAUUUUCAGCAAAAACAUGGAUUAAACAUAUUUGUACAGAAAAGUUGUUCAAACAUGACAUGAAACCACACCAAACUAUAGAUCUGAGAGUAUAGAACACAUCAAAACUUAUUUCACAAAUUUUGGAGCCAUGCAUCUCAAGUUAUGGAUUUUACAACAUUUAAAUCAAUUUAAGGAAAUUAUUUUCUAAGACACCCAGAUCUACACCCAACUCGGUACCCCUGCGACUGCCAGUGGGCCCCUGACCCCACUGGUCAGUGUGACCGAGAAGGAGGGCACCUCCGACGAGCGGAUCUCGCCGGCGGUGAGGUCCCCGGCCACGGGGUGAGCACCAUCGUGCUCCCCGCAGCGAGGCGCACCCAAGGGUGCCCUUGGAUCGGCCGGAGGGUGACCGGAGCACCCUUGCGAGCAUGCAUGGCGGCACGGCGGCGCUGCUCACCGUGGCUAGGCUGCUCCGGUGCGGUAGAACACGCGCAAGUGCUCCUCCGAGUUUCCCCGUCGAACUACGGACCUAACGUGCCAAAAAGCAAGCGAAACGAGGCAGAAACGAGCGAGGUUCGACGCGGCGGAGCUCUCCGGCGAGGUCGGAGCAACUCCGGCGAGCGAUUUACGGCGAACGAGGGUCUCUCACCUCGGUAGAGCGUGCGCAAAAGCUUACCGCGACGACGGCGAGUGCAGUGGUGGCUUUGGCGCUGAGGAUAGGCCACUGGCGUGACCGGCGGUGAGCAGCGGAGCUUCUCCGGCGAUGGCGCUGCGGCGGAGCUGCUACGGCUGCGGUUGCGCUCGCGAGCGGAGGAAGAAGAGAGAGAGGAGUGGGGACAAAAUGGAGUGGCCUGGGGGCGCGGGUUGGCGUCCCGACCAGGUGAAGGCGGGUCGGCCGCGGCGUGUCCACGACGCUGGCGUACGGCCGCCACGUGGCCGGCGCCGGUUGGAGCGAGGCGGGCGCCGCGCGCGGGAGAGAGAGGCGAGGGGAAGCGGGCCGCGCUGCCUGGCUGGGCCGAAAGGGAGGCGGGUCGGCCCAGCAGCGCCUGUCCCCUUUCUCUUUUUUUUAAUUUCUUUUCUUAAAUUCUUUCUAAAUUCAUUUAGACUAUUUAAAAAUCAUUUUCACCUUUUUCUCCCAAAAUAAAAGUUGUUCCAAAACAAAAACCCUACAACUUUGUUUUAAUAAGCAAAGCCAAAUUUCUAAUAGAAUUUGAAUCUCGGAUUAAAACUAGUUCUAGGUUUUAAAUAAAUUCAUUUUAGGGAUUUUUGCAUAAAUUCCGUUUCUCGAAUUCCAUAGCUCCAAAAAAUUCCACAAAAUUACCCUUAAUUCUUUUAACACACAAAUCAACCUAAUUUGAAUAUUUCACAUUUUUAGAUGUAAGCAUUAUAUUUUUAACAUAUUUAAUUCACCUGAAAUAAAGCACACAUAAAAUCACACUUGAAUUAUUAUUGUGCUCAUGGGAUGUGAUGCUCAUGCCAUGCUUGAUGAGAAUGCUUAUGAAUGUUUUAUGAGACUAAGUGCAUGCUUAACACCUAGGGUGUUAUAGGUAACGGAAAGUGAUCUUUCUUUGUAGCCUUGUUGAGUUUUCGAUAGUCAAUACACAUACGCCACCCACUGACAAUUCGUUGAGGGAUGAGUUCAUUCUUCUCAUUCCUAACGACCGUCAUUCCUCCUUUCUUUGGCACUACUUGGAUGAGGCUUACCCACUCACUACGUGGCACAGGAUAAAUAAUCCCAGCAUGAUAGAGUUUGAGGACCUCUUUCCUAACAACUUCUCGCAUAGCAUUGUUACGUCUUCGCUGUGGUUCCCUUGAAGCUGUAAAAUUAGGAUCAAUAGGGAUACGAUGAGUGCAGAGAAUGGGACUAAUGCCCGGGAGAUCAUCGAGAGAGUAGCCAAAUGCUGAUCUAUGCCUUUCAAGAACAGUGACAAGUUGUUGUGUUUCAUAAUCGGAAAGCUUGUCACUGAUAAUUACUGGAGUUUUUGGGUUGUUGUGCAAAAAGACAUAUCUAAGGCCAGAAGGAAGAGGUUUUAACUCUAUCGAAGGAGGUGAAGGUUUUUCAUUUUUGUCUAGCUCAACGGAUUCUACCAACUCUUCUUCUUCUUGAACAAAUUGUUCAUGAUUAAAGAAUGGUUGGGCCAUCUCCUCUUGAGUCAGCAUUAAGAUCUCCUCAAUAGGAUCUGGUUCAAGUUUCGGUUCCACUAUCGUGUUAAGUGAUCUAGCAAGAGGAACAACAAUAGUGGAAUUCCCAACCUUGAAGUCUAAAUGACCUCGUUGUGGUUGUUCUUGUAGAAGUUUCAUGAUUGAUCUGCCAAUCAAGAGAGGAAUCUCUGGUAUGUCAAAAAUGUGAAAAUCUAGACAUAUUCCAGAGUCCUUGAUUCUAACAGGAACUACCCUUAAUACCCCUGGCUUUCUACAAUUAAUCCAGAUGGACUUUGUAAAAGUUUCUAAGAUGGGGUUAUGGACUCGUUGGGAUAAAGAGUGUCAGCUAACUCCUUGGAAAUAAUAUUUAUCCCAACAUAUGGACUGUAGUGGACCUUCCUAGCGGACCCUCUAAUUUGGCACAAAAGAAUGGUUGAAGGAGUGAUGAUCCGAGCUACCUCAAGAGACAGCUCAGCUUCUGUUAGCCAUUCAUAACUCAGAAUAGGUGAAAGGCUUUUGAUGUGUUCUAUGUCAACAGAUUCUUCGCUUAGAACAGAUUGAGUGGUCCCUGCUAGAGGUCGUGUUUUGAUAGGAAAAUUCGAGGUGUUUCCAUAAUCUUCAAAAAGGUCUUCCUCGAAUUCAAAGGGAUGCUCUAAAGGUGAUGGUUCAUCAUCCCUUAGUUGGUUUUGCAUUCCCUUAUCAGGAGGUUUCUCUACAACCAAAUUAAUAGAUGGGUCAGGUGGAAUUUCUAACUCGGUUGCAAGUUCCUCAUCUUUUGGUUUAGGAUCAGGCUCUACUUCUUUUUCUUCUUUAGGAAACUCAUCAUAAAUGCCUGUGUAAGAAUGAGCCUCCUGAAGCAAUGUCGAGGUGAAGAGCAGCUUCCUUGUUUAGACCACUAUAAAAGUGGUAGUACAGUACAUGGUUAGGCAGGGAAUGCUUUGGACCGGAAUUGGUAAGGCUUGUGAACCUAGCCCAAGCUGCUCCUAAAGUUUCCUUCUCUCUUUGUUUGAAUAUAAGAAUUUCGAUUCUAAGGUCAGCGAUUCGAAAAAGUGGGAAGAAAGCGAGACAAAAGUUGUCUCGAAGUUCAUCCCAAUUUCCAUUAAUGCCUCCUACAUAAUGAGCAUACCACUUUUUUGCUCUUCCCAAAAGGGAGAAAGGAAAUAAUUUUCAUUUAAGGGUUUCUUGUGUCAUGCCGGAAAUAGAUUGGCAAGAGCACAACUGCUAAAAUUCUCUAAGGUGGGUGUAUGGAUCUUCAUAUACUUGCCCAGAGAAGGGUUGCUCCUGAAUCAUGGCUAUUAGAUCAGGGCCGAGGUUGUAGCCAUCUAUAAGAAUUGGAUCUGAUGAUGGUGGUGGCUCUAAUAACUCGCCCUUUGGAGCAAAGAAUUUAUAGAUAGGAGUGAAAUCCAUGUGGUAUGGUGAAAAUGGUAAGGUGACUGUGGUAAAAAGGGAAAAGAAAAAGGAUACAUGGACGACUUGGUUCGAAACUAGCACAGCUACUGUUCCCCGGCAACGGCGCCAGAAGCUUGUUGGGUAUUUUAAAUGCAAACAGAAAAAUCCGCAAGCGCACGGAUACCGAUGUAGCUUUCAUCCGAGAGUAUUCCAGAGUAUCGAUUUUCCACAGGGAAUGUGAGUGUACUAAUUAAGAUUCAAGAUCGCCCAAGGAUAACUAUAUAAUUAUUUUUGGUGGGAAGAGAGGAAGUUUCGUGAGAGUUCUCUAGUUGAUCUAUGAAUCAAGAAUUAUUUCAAAGAUUAUUUAUUUUGGGACAUCAGAACACUAACCACAGAAAGAGAUGAGAAGGGGGCUAGGAAGCUCUGACUAUGGUCCUACAAACACCGAUCCGAACGAGGUGGGAUACGUCGACCGUUAGGGCUGUCACUACCCUAGGGCUACCACAACAAUCCGCAGGAUUGGGUGCAAUUCCAGGUAAUUGAAAGACUAAACACCACGUCUAAUCUAUUAAUUACUACUCUAGCGUUAUAAUGACUAGAGCACUUGAUGCAAGUGAGAAUCCAAUAAAUUACUUGAAUGUAAAUAAAUGUAAUUAAAGAACUCAGGAAUUAUGAAUUGAAGAACUUGGAGAACGAUGAAGAAUGAACCAGUUGCUGCAAAAGUACAAUGUUGAGGAAGAUCCAACAGAUCCGGCUCCUCCUUCGCUCUCCUCUUCUCUCUCCCUAUUUUCUAGAUUACAACUAGAACUAACUAGAACUAGAACUAGAUGAACUAGAAAUAGAACUAGAUGAACUAGAGGAUCCUCUCUAUUUGGAUGAAUAAUUGAAACCCUAGCUUUGAUUCUCUAGAAGAGGUAUGCCUCCAGGGGCUGGUGGGCGCUUGCUUAUAUAGCCCCUCUAAAUGAAUAUGAGCCAUCGGAUCAAACCGACCAUAAUCGCACGGUUUUUCUUAAUCCUUUAGGUCGGUGGAGCAUGAUCCGCGAGAUGGAAGCUGAUUGGCUCCUGUAGGUGGCCGGGCGCCCUAGGGGGGAGGGCGGGCGCCCUGCCCCUGGGCCCGCUCGACCUCCCGUUCGUUCCUGUGGCUUCUGGAGUCUUCUAGAUGAUAGAAAAUUAGCGCACACGUUAAUAUCUCUAUGUAAACCCGACGUGUGGGCCUUUCCUCCGUAUUUCCUGAUAACCCCCUGCAGAAAUAGACAAACACUAGGAAUUCAGUCAGAUAAAACCCUAAGUCUGGGUGUUGGUUGCUUAUAGGUCCUUUUUCAUGAUUAGCUGACGGUUAAAUGUGAGCAUUAAGGACUGUCAACAGGUAUCCACCUAUAUCUCACAGGUGACACGAAAUCACCCGACUUCUACCGUACUAAGCCAGCUAAGCAUAGACUCCGAGCCUAUCUACAUAGCACAAGGUAGAUAAAUAGGUGGUGAUUUCAAGGAGUAAAUAUGCUUCAACGGUAUCAAGCAACUCCUAUUACUUAAAUGCAGCAUAGUAAAACAAUCAUGAUGGACAAACUAAGCUAGCGAAAAUAGGGAGACUUAUAAUGCUCCGGGGCUUGCCUCUCUCGAAGGUGCUAGGCCUGUGGUCCAGGCAUUCCUGCAGAUCUCUUUCUGGCUCUGGUCCUUCUGGAAGUUCCUCCUCCUGUGUCUCCUCCUGCUCCUCGGGUCCCACCUCAUUCUCCUGCGAGCCUGUAUGACGCAUGUGUGCUCAUGAGUGGAGUGCAAGAUGCCCGAAGUGCAAUGCAAAUUAAGACAAGAUGAUCAUGACAUGGUGCAUAGAUGAGUAUGUGCUAACCCCAUCUCCCGUGGAGCUGAGUUCCAAAGGAUGAAACAAGAAACUACUUCUACAAGGUAGUCAAUAUCAUCCAAGAACAAGUAACCAAAGUAAAGCAUCUAUUGCAUUCUCUUCUACGAGUUAUUAUUAACCAGCAAGCUACCAUGAUGCUUCAAAGAUACACCAAACACAAAUGCAUUCUAUUCAUCUCAUGCAUAACAAGGGUUUAUUUAUUUAAUUAUUAUUAAGCCUACAACAGUAGCAUAUACUUCUGUACUUCAAUAAAUUCUACAAAAACUACAGUAGGUUACUCUUGUUAUUUAUAAAGUUCAUCACCAAAUUUUCAUAACAUGUGGGCAAGUAACCUGGCCCACACAAAAAUCACAAGUUAAUCCACAUAAAUAAGUGUAAAUACCAUACUAGUGACAAAGUGUCAAACAACAGAUCUCAUAUUUUUAUAAAUUACUUACUAACAUAAGAAAUGUUCACAAAAAUUUCCAGAUUAAUUGCAUGAUCUAGUUAUUUAUUAAAAAUCAUAAACCCCUGCCAUGCAAGCAUUUAAAUCAUCAUAAAUUAAUUCCUACAGCAAAUAUUGUGUUACUCAUUUUUCCCAGAGACUAAACAUUCAUGCAAAGCUAGAAAAAUAAAAAUCACAUUUUUCUAAGCUAUAUUUUAUUUACUGCACAUUUUCCAAAUAACAGAAAAAUCAUGGAAUAAAUUUUUUUACACAGAAAAUUUGUACAAACAUAACAUGCAAAGGUACCAGGUUGUAGAUCUUGAAUUAUGGAACACAUCAAACUUUAUUUCAUCAUUUUUGGAGCUGUAGAUCUCAAGAUAUGGAUUAAAUACUAUUUAAACAAAUUUCUUGAAAAUAUUUAUAAAACAAAACAGAUUCAAAACGCUAGGUGCACCACAAACCCAUCACCCUGAGGCGCUGACAGGUGGGACCUGCGGGUCAGCUGACCCCACCCGUCAGACACACAGCGUGUCCGCGGCCAUGGACCGGCCAGGAUCUCACCGUCGCUAAGGUUUCCGGCGACACCAAGGUCACCUACGGCUUCCUCAGCGUGAGACGAACCUAGCCUCACUAAAUCUUGAAUCUCACAUAAACUAUAUGAAACUAUACGUGAGAAUUAUGCAUUUUCAACUACACCUUCCCAACACUUUGUCAAAUGCAAAAAUGGUGUCUAUAUUAAAUGUAGAUCUUGAUCAGUGGAGCAAUAUUGGUAUUCAUGACUUUUCUAGUCGAGACCAUCUAGGGUUUCGAAAACCGGUGCAUGGAUAUGAAUUCUUUCAAAAUUCAAAAUUGAGUGCUUCAAACUCGGUCAAAUGACCCAUUUGAUCACUUCAAAUGAAACAAUUUUGAAUACAAUGGUGAUCAUCAAGAUAUACAUUUGAUACAAUGUCCAUUUUUCUAUUUGGAUAAAUUUUAGCCACUCCUAGGCAUAUGUGUUUAAAAUCCAAGACGGGUUUUGGUCAAACUUGGUCAAAUGACAAACUAAAUUACUUAAAAUGAAAAACAUUUGAAUACCAAGUUGAUAGAGAUCAUCAAGAUCCAAACAUUCUAUAUAGACCAUUUUUCCAUUUGGGAAAGUUUAAGUAUACAAUACUCACUAAAUCUUGAAUCUCACAUAAACUAUAUGAAACUAUAUGUGAGAAUUGCGGAUUUACAACUGCACCUUCCCAACAAUUUGUGAAUUGCAAAAAUGGUCUAUAUAUUAAAUGUAGAUCUUGAUGAGUGGAACAAUUUAGUAUUCAUUACUUUUCUAGUCGAGACCAUCUAAGGUUCCGAAAACCGGUGCAUGGCUAUGAAUUCUUUCAAAAUUCAAAAUUGAGUGCUUCAAACUCGGUCAAAUGACCCAUUUGAUCACUUCAAAUGAAACAAUUUGAAUACAAAGUUGUUAUAGAUCAUCAAGAUAUACAUUUGAUACAUUGUCCAUUUUUCCAUUUGGGUAAAUUUUUAGCCAAUCCUAGGCACAUGUCUUUAAAAUCCAAGAUAGGUUUUUGGUCAAACUUGGUCAAAUGACAAACUAAAUUACUUAAAAUGAAAAACAUUUGAAUACCAAGUUGAUAGAGAUCAUCAAGAUCCAAACUUUUUAUAUAGACCAUUUUUCCAUUGGAGAAAGUUUAAGUAUACAAUACUCACUAAAUCUUCAAUCUCACAUAAACUAUAUGAAACUAUACAUGAGAAUUAUGGAUUUUCAACUACACCUUCCCAACACUUUGUCAAAUGCAAAAAUGGUGUCUAUAUGAAAUGUAGAUCUUGAUCAGUGGAGCAAUAUUGGUAUUCAUGACUUUUCUAGUCGAGACCAUCUAGGGUUUCGAAAACCGUUGCGUGGCUAUGAAUUCUUUCAAAAUUCAAAAUUGAGUGCUUCAAACUCGGUCAAAUGACCCAUUUGAUCACUUCAAAUGAAACAAUUUUGAAUACAAAGUUGUUAGAUAUCAACAAGAUCUAUAUUUGAUACAUUAUCCAUUUUUCCAUUUGGAUAAAUUUUUAGCCAAUCCUAGGCACAUGUCUUUAAAAUCCAAGACAGGUUUUUGGUCUAACUUGGUCAAAUGACAAACUAAAUUACUUAAAAUGAAAAACAUUUGAAUACCAACUUGUUAGAGAUCAUCAAGAUCCAAACUAUUUAUAUAGACAGAUUUUCCAUUGGAGAAAGUUUAAGUAUACAAUACUCACUAAAUCUUGAAUCUCACAUAAACUAUAUGAAACUAUACGUGAGAAUUAUGGAUUUUCAACUACACCUUCCCAACACUUUGUGAAUUGCAAAAAUGGUCUAUAUAUUAAAUGUAGAUCUUGACGAGUGGAACAAUAUUAGUAUUCAUGACUUUUCCAGUCGAGACCAUCAAAGGUUCCGAAAACCGGUGUGUGGCUAUGAAUUCUUUCAAAAUUCAAAAUUGAGUGCUUCAAACUUGGUCAAAUGACCAAUUUCAUGACUUCAAAAGAAACAUUUUGAAUACAAAGUUGUUAGAGAUCAUCAAGAUCUAUAUUUGAUACAUUGUCCAUUUUUCCAUUUUGAUAAAUUUUUUGCCAAUCCUAGGCACAUGUGUUUAAAAUCCAAGACGGGUUUUGGUCAAACUUGUUCAAAUGACAAACUAAAUUCUUAAAAUGAAAAACAUUUGAAUACCAAGUUGAUAGAUAUCAUCAAGAUCCAAACUUUUUAUAUAGACCAUUUUUCCAUUUGAGAAAGUUUAGGUAUACAAUACUCACUAAAUCUUGAAUCUCACAUAAACUAUAUGAAACUAUAUGUGAGAAGUGCGGAUUUUCAACUACACCUUCCCAACACUUUGUGAAUUGAAAAAAUGGUCUAUAUAUUAAAUGUAGAUCUUGAUGAGUGGAACAAUUUAGUAUUCAUGACUUUUUCAGUCGAGACCAUCUAAGGUUCCGAAAACCGGUGCGUGGCUAUGAAUUCUUUCAAAAUUCAAAAUUGAGCGCUUCAAACUCGGUCAAAUGACCCAUUUGAUCACUUCAAAUGAAACAAUUUUGAAUACAAUUUUGAUCAUCAAUAUAUACAUUUGAUACAUUGUCCAUUUUUCCAUUUGGAUAAAUUUUAGCCACUCCUAGGCACAUGUGUUUAAAAUCCAAGACGGGUUUUGGUCAAACAUGGUCAAAUGACAAACUAAAUUACUUAAAAUGAAAAAGAUUUGAAUGUUGAUAGAGAUCAUCAAGAUCUAGACUUUUUAUAUAGAUUCCAUUUGAGAAAGUUUAAGUAAACUAUACUCACUAAAUCUUGAAUCUCACAUAAACUAUAUGAAGCUAUAUGUGAGAAUUGUGGAUUUUCAACGACACCUUCACAACACUUUGUCAAAUGCAAAAAUGGUUUGUAUAUUAAAUCUAGAUCUUGAUUAGUGGAGCAAUGUUGGUAUUCAUGACUUUUCUAGUCGAGACCAUCUAGGGUUUCGAAAACUGGUGCGCGGCUAUGAAUUCUUUCAAAAUUCAAAAUUGAGUGCUUCAAACUCGGUCAAAUGGCCGAUUAGAUCAAUUCAAAUGAAACAAUUUUGAAUACAAUGUUGUUAGAGAUCAUCAAGAUAUACAUUUGAUACAUUGUCUAUUUUUACAUUUGGAUAAAUUUUAGCCACUCCUAGGCACAUGUGUUUAAAAUCCAAGACGGGUUUUGGUCAAACUUGGACAAAUGACAAACUAAAUUCUUAAAAUGAAAAACAUUUGAAUACCAAGUUGAUAGAUAUCAUCAAGAUCCAAACUUUUUAUAUAGACCAUUUUUCCAUUUGAGAAAGUUUAGGUAUACAAUACUCACUAAAUCUUGAAUCUCACAUAAACUAUAUGAAACUAUAUGUGAGAAUUGCGGAUUUUCAACUACACCUUCCCAACACUUUGUGAAUUGCAAAAAUAGUCUAUAUAUUAAAUGUAGAUCUGGAUGAGUGGAACAAUAUUAGUAUUCAUGACUUUUCCGGUCGAGACCAUCUAAGAUUCCGAAAACCGGUGCCUGGCUAUGAAUUCUUUCAAAAUUCAAAAUUGAGUGCUACAAACUUGGUCAAAUGACCCAUUUCAUGACUUCAAAUGAAACAUUAAGAAUACAAAGUUGUUAGAGAUCAUCAAGAUCUAUAUUUGAUACAUUGUCCAUUUUUCCAUUUGGAUAAAUUUUAGCCAAUCCUAGGCACAUGUCUUUAAAAUUCAAGACAGGAUUUGGUCAAACUAGGUCAAAUAACAAACUAAAUUACUUAAAAUGAAAAUAUUUGAAUACCAAGUUGUUAGAGAUCAUCAAGAUCCAAACUUUUUAUAUAGACCAUUUUUCAAUUUGAGAAAGUUUAAGUAAACAAUAAUCACUAAAUCUUGAAUCUCACAUAAACUAUAUGAAGCUAUAUGUGAGAAUUGUGGAUUUUCAACGACACCUUCACAACACUUUGUCAAAUGCAAAAAUGGUCUGUAUAUUAAAUCUAGAUCUUGAUCAGUGGAGCAAUAUUGGUAUUCAUGAUUUUUCUAGUCAGGGCCAUCUAGGGUUUCGAAAACCGGUGCGUGGCUAUGAAUUCUUUCAAAAUUCAAAAUUGAGUGCUUGAAACUCGGUCAAAUGGCCCAUUAGAUCACUUCAAAUGAAACAAUUUUGAAUACAAUGUUGUUAGAGAUCAUCAAGAUAUACAUUUGAUACAUUGUCUAUUUUUCCAUUUGGAUAAAUUUUAGCCACUCCCAGGCACAUGUGUUUAAAAUGCAAGACGGGUUUUGGUCAAACUUGGUCAAAUGACAAACUAAAUUCUUAAAAUGAAAAACAUUUGAAUACCAAGUUGAUAGAUAUCAUCAAGAUCCAAACUUUUUAGAUAGACCAUUUUUUCAUUUGAGAAAGUUUAAGUAUACUAUACUCACUAAAUCUUGAAUCUCACAUAAACUAUAUGAAACUAUAUGUGAGAAUUGCGGAUUUUCAGCUACACCUUCCCAACACUUUGUGAAUUGCAAAAAUGGUCUAUAUAAUAAAUGUAGAUCUGGAUGAGUGGAACAAUAUUAGUAUUCAUGACAUUUCCGGUCGAGACCAUCUAAGAUUCUGAAAACCGGUGCGUGGCUAUGAAUUCUUUCAAAAUUCAAAAUUGAGUGCUUCAAACUUGGUCAAAUGACCCAUUUCAUGACUUCAAAUGAAACAUUUUGAAUACAAAGUUGUUAGAGAUCAUCAAGAUCUAUAUUUUAUGCAUUGUCCAUUUUUCCAUUUGGAUAAAUUUUAGCCAAUCCUAGGCAAUGUCCUUAAAAUCCAAGACAGGUUUUUGUCAAACUUGGUCAAAUGACAAACUAAAUUACUUAAAAAGAAAAACAUUUGAAUACCAAGUUGUUAGAGAUCAUCAAGAUCCAAACUUUUUAUAUAGACCAUUUUUCAAUUUGAGAAAGUUUAAGUAAACAAUAGCCACUAAAUCUUGAAUCUCACAUAAACUAUAUGAAGCUAUAUGUGAGAAUCGCGGAUUUUCAACGACACCUUCACAACACUUUGUCAAAUGCAAAAAUGGUCUGUAUAUUAAAUCUAGAUCUUGAUCAGUGGAGCAAUAUUGGUAUUCAUGACUUUUCUAGUCGAGACCAUCUAGGGUUCCGAAAACCGGUGCGUGGCUAUGAAUUCUUUCAAAGCUCAAAAUUGAGUGCUUCGAACUCGGUCAAAUGUCCCAUUAGAUCACUUCAAAUGAAAAAAUUUUCAAUACAAUGUUGUUAGAGAUCAUCAAGAUAUACAUUUGAUACAUUGUCUAUUUUUCCAUUUGGAUAAAUUUUAGCCACUCCUAGGCACAUGUCUUUAAAAUCCAGGAUGGGUUUUGGUCAAACUUGGUCAAAUGACAAACUAAAUUACUUAAAAUGAAAAAUAUUUGAAUACCAAGUUGAUAGAUAUCAUCAAGAUCCAAACUUUUUAUAUAGACCAUUUUUCCAUUGGAGAAAGUUUAAGUAUACAAUACUCACUAAAUCUUGAAUCUCACAUAAACUACACGAAACUAUAUGUGAGAAUUAUGGAUUUUCAACUACACCUUCCCAACACUUUGUGAAUUGCAAAAAUGGUCUAUAUAUUAAAUGUAGAUAUGGAUGAGUGGAACAAUAUUAGUAUUCAUGACUUUUCCAGUCGAGACCAUCUAAGAUUCCGAAAACCGGUGCGUGGCUAUGAAUUCUCUCAAAAUUCAAAAUUGAGUGCUUCAAACUUGGUCAAAUGACCCAUUUCAUGACUUCGAAUGAAACAUUUUGAAUACAAAGUUGUUAGAGAUCAUCAAGAUCUAUAUUUGAUACAUUGUCCAUUUUUCCAUUUGGAUAUAUUUUUAGCCAAUCCUAGGCACAUGUCCUUAAAAUCCAAGACAGGUUUUGUUCAAACUUGGUCAAAUGACAAACUUAAUUACUUAAAAUGAAAAACAUUUGAAUACCAAGUUGAUAGAGAUCAUCAAGAUCCAAACUUUAUAUAUAGACCAUUUUUCCUUUUGAGAAAGUUUAAGUAUACAAUACUCACUAAAUCUUGAAUCUCACAUAAACUACAGGAAACUAUAUGUGAGAAUUGCGGAUUUCCAACUACACCUUCCCAACACUUUGUGAAUUGCAAAAAUGGUCUAUAUAUUAAAUGUAGAUCUUGAUGAGUGGAACAAUUUAGUAUUCAUUACUUUUCUCAUCGAGACCAUCUAAGGUUCCGAAAACCGGUGCGUGGCUAUGAAUUCUUUCAAAAUUCAAAAUUGAGUGCUUCAAACUCGGUCAAAUGACCCAUUUGAUCGCUUCAAAUGAAACAAUUUGAAUACAAAGUUGUUAGAGAUCAUCUAGAUCUAUAUUUAAUACAUUGUCCAUUUUUCCAUUUGGAUAAAUUUUUAGCCAAUCCUAGGCACAUGUCUAUAAAAUCCAAGACAGGUUUCUGGUCAAACUUGGUCAAAUAACAAACUAAAUUACUUAAAAUGAAAAACAUUUGAAUACCAAGUUGUUAGAGAUCAUCAAGAUCCAAACUUUUUAUAUAGACCAAUUUUCCAUUGCAGAAAGUUUAAGUAUACAAUACUCACUAAAUCUUCAAUCUCACAUAAACUAUAUGAAACUAUACGUGAGAAUUAUGGAUUUUCAACUACACCUUCCCAACACUUUGUCAAAUGCAAAAAUGGUGUCUAUAUUAAAUGUAGAUCUUGAUCAGUGGAGCAAUAUUGGUAUUCAUGACUUUUCUAGUCGAGACCAUCUAGGGUUUCAAAAACCGGUGCGUGGCUAUGAAUUCUUUCAAAAUUCAAAAUUGAGUGCUUCAAACUCGGUCAAAUGACCCAUUUGAUCACUUCAAAUGAAACAAUUUUGAAUACAAUGGUGAUCAUCAAGAUAUACAUUUGACACAUUGUCCAUUUUUCCAUUUGGAUAAAUUUUAGCCACUCCUAGGCAUAUGUGUUUAAAAUCCAAGACGGGUUUUGGUCAAACUUGGUCAAAUGGCAAACUAAAUUACUUAAAAUGUAAAACAUUUGUCCUUAAAAUCCAAGACAGGUUUUGUUCAAACUUGGUCAAAUGACAAACUAAAUUACUUAAAAUGAAAAACAUUUGAAUACCAAGUUGAUAGAGAUCAUCAAGAUCCAAACUUUCUAUAUAGACCAUUUUUCCAUUUGAGAAAGUUUAAGUAUACAAUACUCACUAAAUCUUGAAUCUCACAUAAACUAUAUGAAACUAUAUGUGAGAAUUGCGGAUUUUCAACUACACCUUCCCAACACUUUGUGAAUUGCAAAAAUGGUCUAUAUAUUAAAUGUAGAUCUUGAUCAGUGGAACAAUUUAGCAUUCAUUACUUUUCUAGUCGAGACCAUCUAAGGUUCCAAAAACUAGUGCAUGGCUAUGAAUUCUUUCAAAAUUCAAAAUUGAGUGCUUCAAACUCGGUCAAAUGACCCAUUUGAUCACUUCAAAUGAAACAAUUUGAAUACAAAGUUGUUACAGAUCAUCAAGAUAUACAUUUGAUACAUUGUCCAUUUUUCCAUUUGGGCAAAUUUUUAGCCAAUCCUAGGCACAUGUCUUUAAAAUCCAAGACAGGUUUUUGGUCAAACUUGGUCAAAUGACAAACUAAAUUACUUAAAAUGAAAAACAUUUGAAUACCAAGUUGAUAGAGAUCUUCAAGAUCCAAACUUUUUAUAUAGACCAUUUUUCCAUUGGAGAAAGUUUAAGUAUACAAUACUCACUAAAUCUUGAAUCUCACAUAAACUAUAUGAAACUAUACGUGAGAAUUAUGGAUUUUCAACUACACCUUCCCAACACUUUGUCAAAUGCAAAAAUGGUGUCUAUAUUAAAUGUAGAUCUUGAUCAGUGGAGCAAUAUUGGUAUUCAUGACUUUUCUAGUAGAGACCAUCUAGGGUUUCGAAAACCGGUGCGUGGCUAUGAAUUCUUUCAAAAUUCAAAAUUGAGUGCUUCAAACUCGGUCAAAUGACCCAUUUGAUCACUUCAAAUGAAUCAAUUUUGAAUACAAUGUUGAUCAUCAAUAUGUACAUUUGAUACAUUGUCCAUUUUUCCAUUUGGAUAAAUUUUAGCCACUCCUAGGCACAUGUGUUUAAAAUCCAAGAUGGGUUUUGGUCAAACUUGGUAGAAUGACAAACUAAAUUACUUAAAAUGAAAAACAUUUGAAUACCAAGUUGAUAGAGAUCAUCAAGAUCCAAACUUUUUAUAUAGACAAUUUUUCCAUUUGAGAAAGUUUAAGUAUACAAUACUCACUAAAUCUUGAAUCUCACAUAAACUAUAUGAAACUAUAUGUGAGAAUUGUGGAUUUUCAACUACACCUUCCCAACACUUUGUGAAUUGCAAAAAUAGUCUAUAUAUUAAAUGUAGAUCUUGAUAAGUGGAACAAUUUAGUAUUCAUGACUUUUCCAGUCGAGACCAUCUAAGGUUCCGUAAACCAGUGUGUGGCUAUGAAUUCUUUCAAAAUUCAAAAUUGAGUGCUUCAAACUUGGUCAAAUGACCCAUUUGAUCACUUCAAAUGAAACAAUUUGAAUACAAAGUUGUUAGAGAUCAUCAAGAUCUAUAUUUGAUACAUUGUCCAUUUUUCCAUUUGGAUAAAUUUUUAGCCAAUCCUAGGCACAUGUCUUUAAAAUCCAAGACAGGUUUCUGGUCAAACUUGGUCAAAUAACAAACUAAAUUACUUAAAAUGAAAAACAUUUGAAUACCAAGUUGUUAGGGAUCAUCAAGAUCCAAACUUUUUAUAUAGACCAAUUUUCCAUUGGAGAAUGUUUAAGUAUACAAUACUCACUAAAUCUUGAAUCUCACAUAAACUAUAUGAAACUAUAUGUGAGAAUUAUGGAUUUUCAACUACACCUUCCCAACACUUUGUCAAAUGCAAAAAUGGUGUCUAUAUUAAAUGUAGAUCUUGAUUAGUGGAGCAACAUUGGUAUUCAUGACUUUUCGAGUCGAGACCAUCUAGGGUUUCGAAAACCGGUGCGUGGCUAUGAAUUCUUUCAAAAUUCAAAAUUGAGUGCUUCAAACUCGGUCAAAUGACCCAUUUGAUCACUUCAAAUGAAACAAUUUUGAAUACAAUGGUGAUCAUUGUUGACACUUGCUAACACCACUUGAAUACUAGGUUGUCAUCCCCAGCAUGGCACUAGAGUGUACUAUGGUAUUUAUACGCACACAGAUAAUCCGCAAGCGCACGGAUACCGUUGAAGCUUUUACCCGGUUAAAGGUUUUAUCGUAUCCACAGGGAAACGGGAGAACCAACUACGCUCUAACUUAACCAAGAUAGAUAGAUAGGUGUAAAUAGGAAAGAUGAUAGAAUCGAAUAAGAACAAUAUUAAAGGUAAGAUAACAGUGAGUGAUAAUAUGGGAAUACAGAGUAGAGCAAUUCUAGUAUAUGGGCGAUGGUAGCAGAAUAGAGAGGAUAACUAUGGUUUCUCUAUUUCAAAGGGGUAUGUCUAUGUCUGGGACGAACCACGUGAUAAGAGUACACCACAAAGGAUGCUUAUCCAUAGGCCGAUAAACCCUACCCGUCCUGCUAACGAGAGGUGGACUACAGGGGACCAACGUAACUGUCACCUAUGCGGCCUACCACACGAUCCAGCUAGUCAGGGGAUAUCCACAAGUAAUCUAGGUCUAAGCACCACGCUUACACCUAUACUACAACUCUAACCUAUAGGGUCCUAUAGAUUAGAAGUACUCAACAGAGUUGUGAACCAGAACAUACAUGAUUAGUAAUUGCAUAAUGAAUUAGAAGUAGAUUACCAGAGUCAUCCCAUGAGCAAGCUUGAUUAGAGCUUGAUCAUGGCGAAGUACAACCAGAGGAAGAACCGACAGGCCAGCCUCUCCUCUAAUCCUCCUUCGCUCUCCAUCUCGCUACUAUCUAGAUCUACUCUAGUUUAGAGAAGAGAGGAGAGCUCUCAUCUCUAAACCCUAGCUUUUGCUCUAUCUAUGAAUAAUGAAUAAUGAUCAAGGGGUGCCUCCUCCAGGGGCCAGGGGGUCUGGUUUUAUAGUCCCCUCAAGUGAACCUGGGCCGUCGGAUCAAACCGACAUUGAUUGAACGGUUAUUCUUGAUCCUUUAGGUCGGUGGAGCAUAAUCCGCGAGAUUGAGCGUGAUUGGCCACAGGAGGUGGGCGGGCGCCCAGUAGGACAGGGCGGGCGCCCUGUCUCUGGCCCCGUUUUGCCUCCGCUUCGGUCUCGUGGCUUCUGGAGUCUUCUAGAUGUAAGAUAAUAGCGCGGCACGUUGAUAUCUCUAUGUAAUCCCGACGUGUGGGCCUUUCUUCCUUAUUUCCCGAUAACCCCCUGCAGAAAUAGACAAACACCAAAACUCGUGGAAUUCUGUCAGAUAAAACCCUAAGUCUUGAUGUUGAUUUCAUUUGGAUCCUUUUCUUUGUUUAUUUGAUAGUUAAAUUUGAUACUUAAGGACCGUCAACAAACUCCCCCAAGCUUACCUCUUGCUCGUCCCUGAGCAAGGAUAGACUCAGCAAUGGAUCAGAAGUUGUUGCAAUAUCUUAAAAAUUUGACGGUACACAUGCUUUUUAAAUAAGUUCUCAUCUCUGAGUUAGAGUAAACUGUCAAGAACUAAAACUUACUUACUUUACCUUUCACCAUGGGACUUGUAACUGUCACUUCUGUCUUGAGUAGUUAAAAGAUAGAACAGUCUAGCCAAGUGCCAUGUCUCUUAUUCUUGAUCAGCUAUAGCUCUGGAGUUUUUGUAGAUUUUCAAAUAAAACUCAGAGAUUCCUUGUAUGACUCUCUAAAUCUCUCUUUUUUGGUAUUUCUGGAUCCUUACCAAGGCAGUGAUGGUAUAUGCCUUCUCUCAAGAUAUGUGGUAUUUGUGGUAUAAGGCAUAGUGACAUUGCCUUCUCUCUCACCCUACUCUUAAUAAGGCUUUAAUAUCUGGAGCUCAUAGGUGGGAGAUAAAGUAUACAUACUUACAAGACAUUUAUUGUAUAGUCAAACCAUGGAUCCAAAGAAACAAAUCAAUAAGCCAAAUCAAGGUGUGCAUGUGUGGCGAAUGAAUGGUGUAUAGUGAUGAUGGUGAUAACAAUGGUGAAAGUCUAAUUCUACUUUUGCUCUUUUGAGGGGAUACAUACCUUCCUUGCUUUUUGAAACUUUAUGAGGAGAAUGAGAUGCUCUUCUUUUUCUUUUCUCUCAGAUGGGUAUCCUGUACCCCUAAUUCUACUGUCGGACACUUGUCCAUUUUUACCUCUCGUCACACUCUUUUUCUUUUCUUUCGAGGUUCCGGGCACUUGCCCCUUUUUAUUUCCUCGUUUAUUUUUUUUUCUUUUCUUUUUUUUUCUUCUUUUUUUUUCAGAGCACUCAUCUCUUGAGAUAAUAUAGCAAGUGGUAGUAGCAAGAUAACUUGAGCAUUUAUUUCACAAGGGGAAAACACAGAUGUUUUUGGCUAUUCUGUCCCGAAUUAGGAGUAGAAUAUUUUUAGGUGAUUCUGGAGAUGGAAAUGGAUGGAUAUAUGUGGAUGGUACUUCCAGAGUAGAAGUAGCAUAUAUAUGAGUGAACGUGCAAGUGAAUCUUGAUUUAACCACAUGACAAGCUUCUAAGGGUCUACACAGCUUGACCACACUCAAUGCUCAUAAGCAGUAAAUAAUAAAUGUGUGGCUCAAAGUCUAGCAAGCAUGUAUAUGGCUGUGGUAGGAAUUUAAACUUUCAUCAUACAGGAACUCAUCAUGCAACAUUUUAAAGAUUUUUCAAAGAUAAAAUUCUCCAGAAUUCUAGCAUCUCUAGGAAUAGAUAAACAGCAGCUCAACCUUCCCAUAUCAUAUCCGUUAACAACUUAGAUUUCAGAUCAAGUUUUCAUCCCACAAGUUUAGAUCUAGAGCAAACUUUAAAUUAUAAUAGUUAUGUCUAAACUUGAGAGAGAACUUCAAAUUUGCAAAUUAGGCAGAGCAACUAUUCAUCAUAUCCAUGCUAGAGUUUUAUUAUUAAGAUUCAGAUUAGCAUAGCCACUUUAUUUAUUUAUUAAACACACUAAGCAAAAGAUAUAUAUAAGCACAAAAUCUUUAUUUGUUUUUUCAUAGUUUAUGUAUUCUAAUAUAAUAUAAGUAUAAAGAUAGGUAGAAAUACUUAGCGAGAUAAAUGGGGGUGCUCUUCCUCAAACUGAAUUUUGACGUAAUUUCUCUUGAUGUAGCUAGCAGGUGGCAGAGGUGUAUUUGAAAGUCAGCAGCAUUCUGACAACGAUUAGAAUAUCCUCCGUCUGCUAGUCUUCUUGAUUCUUAAAUUCUGUGGAGCUCAAAUAGACAACAAAGCUUGUGGAACUAAUUAAGUGUUAGCAUAAAUAUCUAGCCUUCAUCACGUUGAGCUUCCUCAAUAAAUAUUACUCCCUGUUUUUAUAUUUUUAUUUUAUAAAGUAGAAAAGAAAUAUUUAUUUUAUUUUUAUGCCACCACAGUGAAGUUACUUAUGAGUUUUAUGCCACUCGUAUACCCACAUGGGGCUUAGUAUUUUUUAAAAUUUUUAUUUUCUUUUCAAGAUAGCAUGAUUAACUAAUAAUCUAUUUAAGGAAAGUAAAUAAUUAAAUGGAAAAGGGAAUGCAGAAAGGAUAAAUAUGGAUAACUACCAAUCUUACCUUUCGGCGAGGGUUCAAUGUUUUAAGUCUUCUUGUCAAGACUUCUCAUCGUGUUCAUUCUUCAGGUGCGUCAUUUGAUUCAGGUGCGGACCUUGACGUCUGCACCUUUUAAUACGGUGUCACCCAUGUUCUUCGUUUGCCCAGCAGUUCGAAGUGCGGUGUUAGCAGUAUCUUGCUCAGUGUGUUUGUGCUCGUAGUGUACCUGCUCAUAGAGACAAGGCAGAGAUCAAGUGCAUGGGCCCUGUUGGUGGAAAACACCAACAGAACCAAAAGUGUCUUUGUUCUUCUCUAACCUUAAGCAUAGUGAGCAAGACAAGUUGAUGGAUGAUAAGUUCAUGAGUGUAGCACUUAUAACAUUUGUCAGAUCAGAUCGCUCAACCUUACGGAAAGAUAAUCUAUCUAUGUAUAUGUUUUUUCUUUAUAUCUCUCAAUGAUUGAGUGUGUAACAUUUUAGCUCAUAUGAUUAGGAGUGUGGGAUCAUAGAGGUAGUACUAAGAACAAGGAUUAAAGGACUAAACAUGCUGAAUCAGUUGGGUUGGUUAAUCUAGAGUUGUAAAUCAUACAUGUUUGUCUCUUUUAUUUAUAUGAACGCCAGAACCAAGGAGAAGCUUAUAAAAGUGAUAGUCAAGUACCUUAAGAUGUUACCUUGCUUGAAGAGUGAUGGUACAGUAUCACCUUGUGGAAGCUUUCCUUUCUUAGCGGUUGUGCAUCGUGUUUGUGGCACCCUCCAUAGAUCAUCUCUCUAUGAUGAAUGAGCUAUGUCCUUCUUGUGCAAAUUGUUAAACUUCAUGUGUCACUCUCUUCGUCUCUGAUGUGAGUUUAUCUCAGGACUUGAGUAGAUAUUGGUAUAUUUUUUCCAUUGGAGAAAGUUUAAGUAUACAAUACUCCCUAAAUCUUGAAUCUCACAUAAACUAUAUGAAACUAUAUGUGAGAAUUAUGGAUUUUCAACUACACCUUCCCAACACUUUGUCAAAUGCAAAAAUGGUGUCUAUAUUAAAUGUAGAUCUUGAUUAGUGGAGAAAUAUUGGUAUUCAUGACUUUUCGAGUCGAGACCAUCUAGGGUUUCGAAAACCGGUGCGUGGCUAUGAAUUCUUUCAAAAUUCAAAAUUGAGUGCUUCAAACUCGGUCAAAUGACCC